UUGCCCAAGGUUCUCUAUUGGGUUCAGCACAGGAUGAACAUAUUGAGUCCUAUCUCUAGCAUUCGGCCUGUUUACCUCUCUGUCUGAAGCUGGUUUAAGCGGACUGCUGACCUCUUUCUCAUCUCUUUCAACUGCAGAACUUUGUUUUCUAGACUCGAUAGAUAUAGAGAAUAAUUCAGAUGACUCUUCUUGGAUAUCAACUGAAUCUUCAGAACCAUUUUUCUCCUCGUAAUUGCCAUCCAUGUUGUCAUCACUCUUCCCAUCAUGCUCCUCGUCCUCUGGAUUGUUCUUUUUCAAACCCAUAUCAACACACUCAUCAUCACUAGAUUCACAGUUCUGGUACCUAUGGUUUGGAGGAUAUGUGAAAAGGCUUGAAAUAGUUGAAUCGGAAAGUAAAUCGGCCUCGUCUUUGCUCUCUUCUUUCUUUGCUUUGCCUUCCUUCUUCUCACUGGAACUAGGAAAAUCUAGAUGACCUCAGGUCUGCUUUCAUCCCUCUUCUUUCGUUUCUGAUCAUUUUCUAGCGCGCCUUCUUGGCUUGGCAUUCCUCAGGAGCUUUCAAAAGUAAAUCAAAUGUGACUUUCUUUCCGAAACUUGUACUCACCUGCUCCUCAUUUUUACCUCUAAAAAAAACAGAAGAACAAAAUGUAAGAAAUAUCCUGAAAUAUUUAAGCAGUUUUAUAUAAAGAAUUGACAAACAUGCACCAGCCACUAAUUUUUCUACAUUUAAAAGGGAUGAAGUAAAAGACCAUAAACAAAGAUGUUAAAGAAGUGAGAGCUUACUUAAUUUCUGGAAUGACUUCAAUGGAUCUGCAAUCUCGGCUCCUUCUUCAUCUGCUUGAUUGCUGCAUAUUAGAGCUUCAUUUACUUCAUGGCUUUCAUUUAAAUUCUGCAAGAAAGAGUCUCCCACCACGAAUCAAGAUCAUCAUUAAAGAAAACCAACGAACUCUCAAAUGUUAACAGCUGAAAAAGCAGUCAUUAUUACUACUAAUUAUUAAACAUGGCUUUCAGUUUACCUGAUUUUUAGGGGAAGUUAAACUUUCGGGCUUUUUGGUUUUGUGGUGCUUUUUGGAGGAGCCAAAGCAAGCAAAAAAGCACCCCAUAAUCGAGUAGCUAGCUAGGCUACUUUCCUUAAAAGGAUGGCGGCUGGUCUUCACUCAGGUACUAAUAUGGUAGUCAUGAUCUAGUUCAAAGGUCGAGAGAGAGAGAGAGGAAAGGAGGACGAAGGAAAGAGAAACACAGUCGAGUUGGUUAUGAGUUUUGAUGAUGCUGGCUGGCUGGCUGGAUAAGGAGAGGAAGAUGGGGAGAUUGGUGGCGGAUGCUUGAAGUCGGAGGCUUUUGACUAGAUUUUGAAAAGAAAUAUGACCGUUGCCCAUUGAAUGCCAGAAGACUCCGCAGUAGACUCAGUAGUCGUAGUCAGCGGCCAAAAAAUUUCUUUUCCUUUUUCUUUUAUUUUGACAAAACUCAAUACCCCAAGUGAUUAACAUAUUACUUUGACCCAAAAAAAAAAAAAUUGAUUAGCAUAUUACGAAAAAAAGGCAGAAGGGUAAUAAAAACAAUAGUAAUUGUUAGUGAUUAAGGCACACCGGGUAUAUGUGGCAGCCAGUACAAUUAAUAAUAUGUGUAAAAGUAUGUUUCUUCAUAGAUUGAAAUAUUAAAAGGGAAAAUUUUUAAUUGUAUAUGAUGAGGUUAUUUGAAAAGUAGGAGAAAGAAGAAGAAAGGAAAGAAAAAAUAAUAGUAGCCAGUGUAUCGAUAAAUGUGGUAAAAUUUUGGAUAAACAUGUAGAAGUUUAAACCGCUAAAAAAAUGGGAACAUAAGAAAAUAUGGUUGAUUUUAAGUUUUGUUUUGCUAGAAAAUGGACAUUUAUGCUAAAUGUGACGCAAACCUUAAAUCCCUAUAUAUUUUUAAUAGAUAUAUACACAUGGACGUAGAUAAAGAAAAGAAUGCCAUCAGAGUUGAGAUCUCAGGAUUUUUAGGGUUUGAGUUUCUAUCUUCCUUCCUUCCUUCUACUCCCUGCUUCUUAUAUAUUCUAAAGUUCCUUACUAGGAAAUAAAAGAAAAAAAUUUUAAAGUAAAGAAUGUCAAAACUCUCCUAAUAUAUUAUUACCGAUUUAUGGACUGAAAUGGGCUAAAUGUCCCAAGGUUCCAGUUCCUGGGUUCAUUUUGUUUUGAUAGUCAAAUAAUAUUUCGCUUACAUCAUAAACAUAUUUUUCAAUCACCUAUCUAUCUCAUAUACAUCACAUCAUAAAAGAUGUUACGAUAAUUAUUUCAAAUAAUACUCUGUCCAAACAAACCAAGCACUGGGAACAUGUUGGUUUGCACGUAACCAGAUCCAUGAUUUGACUGAUGGGCUUAAAUUUGUCAUCCACAUUAGGUUGAAUAGCAGAUCAGAACAUGGUGUGACCCGGCUCAAUAAUGGACUUCUAUAUUUCAGCUUUUGCGAUUGGGUAAUUGACUAAUUUGGGAGACAUGACAUAGGUGAUGGUUCCUAUCGCGAGACAUAACAAAUGAUUUGAUUUGUGUUCAAUGAUUUGAUCCAACCAAUGUAAGAUAUUCAUAAGCAGAUUUACUAUACAAGGUUCAAGGAUUUCAAAUAUGCUCACAAAUCAUAAUGUCCUACAUCCCAUUUCCAUGACCUAAACAUGUGGAGAAAAGAGCUGUGAAGUAGCAACAAGCUGUGGCUUGGUGGCCAAAAAGUAGGACAGAAAUUUGAAAUGAGAAGUUGCAAAUUACUGGGACUUUGACUGUGCUGUGUCAGUAUAUUGCAUCUUGAACGACCAAUUUGCCUUUGGUAAGUUGGUUGAUGAAAAGAGAUUUAAAUUCUCUUUAAAUUAUAAAUUAGGUGUUUGAAAAUCCAUUCCCUUCCCUUCCCGUCCACUCAUGUUCUCUAUCUUCUCUUCAUUGUCAAGAUCUCCUUUUCUCUAGUGUGUAUGGAUUGUAAGUUAUUUGAGAUAUUUUUACUGUAACACUUUUUGUGAUGUGAUGUAUGUGAGAUAAAAAGAUAAUUGAAAAGAUAAAAAAGUGUAUUGAAAAUUGUAAUGGUGAUGUAAGCAAAUAUAUUUGGACAAAUAACUUACAAUCCAAACACACUCUUUGUAUUUUGUUUUAUAUUUACUAAAAUUUCUCCUAGAGUAUUUUAACAAGGGUUUUCUCUCUCUCAGCACUUAUUAGUAAGAGUUUGUUGUCUCCUAAAGUAUUCCAGUAGAUGUUUUAUUAUUUUUUUACCUAUAUCUAAGAAUUUUUGUUUUAGAUUUAUGCGUUUGAUUUGGAACGUCAAGUUUCAAUAUCAGUUUUGAAUUUAAAUUGGUUGGAUAUUAGAUAUAAAAAAAAAUAGAUAUUUAUGGAGCAGUUCGUGCAAAUUAGUUAGAACUGAUAGUUUGUGAUUAGGGUUGCAAACGAAUCGAGCCGCUCGCGAGUGGUUCGAGUCAAGCUCGAGUUCGAGCUCGAACUCGAGUUCAAAAUAUUAAGUUUAUAUAUAUAUAAUAUUUGUUUAUUUUAAGUACAUAUAUAUUUUUUAUUUUAAGUAUAUAUAUAUAUUUUUUAUUUUCUUAUUUUAAUAGUAAAAUUACAUAUAUAUCCUUAAUAUUUUAUUAUUUAUUAAGAAAAAAUUAUUUUAAUUAUUUUUUAAAAAAUAAAAUAAUUUUUUAUUUUUUUCGAUCUCGAGCUUUAAAUUGCCAAUUCGUCGAGCUCGAACUUGAGUUUGGUAAAAUUUAGUCGAGACUCGGCUCGAUUAGCCCAAAUUUCGACUCGACUCGACUCGUUUGCAACCCUAUUUGUGAUUCACAUUAUAGCCUUUUUUAUUUAUUAACAUUGUUGCAUCUAAUGAUUUUUUUAUAUUAGAUAUAGCUGUGACAUGUUUUAUAUAUUUUCUACCAUUUAUGAAAGCUUUUUUCUUUUGUCAAGCGAAUCAUGUUGAAUGAUUUUUAAUUAAUUUAUUAAUAAUACUUAUUAACUUUUAUUUUAUCUAAGAAAAUAAAUGAGGUGUUUGAAACUUCGCACUUAAAGUUAAAAAAUCCAAGUGAUUAUUUUCUUUCUGGAACGUAACAAUUUGCAUCUUCGAUUUCAGUAAUAUUUUCUACAGCUUCUCAAGUGUCCUUCAAACGAUAACUGAUGAUGUCCACCGUUGUAUUUCUUAUGAGCCAAUUACGUUAUGGAGGUAACAAUUGUCUGGAUGGAUAAGUCUUGUGGAUCCUCUUUAGGUUGAGUGAGACUCUCUUUAACGUGCGUUGAGUUAUAGUUAAAUUAUUCCCUUGUACUAUCGUUUGUCGGAAAAAAUUACAUUAGGGAGGUAACUAAAGUUCAUAGUUGUUUAAAUAGCUAUUAACGCUCUUUAGAGAAUUUCAAAUCAUUAAUUACCCAUUAAACAAUCUAUAUAUAUAUACUUUUUUUUCCCUAAUGACAAAUAACACACACACAAAUUAAUAAAUACACACGCACAAGUAAUUAACAAGAAAACGGUCCAAAAACCAAUCUAAGGAAGAUCCACGGACCAACAUAAUCCAAUUAAUUGGUUACAAGAUAUGCGGCUAGCUGUAAUUUUUAAAUUAUAAAUUUUUUCCAUUAUAUGGCCCGAUAAGUCAAAUCAAAUGAAGGCAUUGACAGCUGUGUACAAAUCCGAAGUAUCACCCAAAUGCUAAAAGACGAGAGACUGGCCCCGACCUUCCCUACAUUUGUCCUCCACCUUUAGAGGGUGGACCACAUAAUUCUCAUUCAAAAAUCAUCAAAUUCCUUAGUUCCGUAGUCAUUAUUAUUAUUUUUUUUUUUGCACGGCGACGCAUCUAGCAUAAUCUAGUCUACUCCUACUCCUAAGAGGGGGGACUUACUAUCUAAGGGAAGCGACUCUAGGGAGUGGGCCUAAAGAGUCGGGAGAACCUGACGGGGACUGAAUCACCAUCAGACCAGACGGGUGCACCACUCACCCGCAUGAAUUUAGAAAUUCCUCAUAUUGAGGUACAAUGAUGGGAGACAAAAUUUGAACCCUUGACCUCUCACCCCACUACAUACAGUGGUGGCCAACUCCUCUAAUGGGAGUUGGUUUAGUUCAGUAGUCAUUAGUUACGCACGCAUUUGAACGAAUAGACAGCGUCGUUCGUAGUAGUAAGUAUAAACUAUUUUAUCCACGAUAGAAUUGUUUGGAUUGCGCUUUAUUUAUAUUUACUAACUUAUUUAUAUUAUUAACAUAUUUUUUAAUUAUUUUUUGAUCUUAUACAUAUCACAUCAAAAAAAUAUAACUUUGUUCACAAAAUUAUUUCAAAUAAUCUCCAAUCCAAGAUAUUUUAUUUGCUUACCAUGUAAAUACAUAGCCUCAGCGAUGAAUCUCGCCUUUUUUUUAUCAGACGGUAACAAUUAAUUUAGUUUAUUCUUACUCCUACUCUAAUUUAUAUUAGAGAGGAGAGAUCCAAUAGGAUUUAAAAGAGUCGAUGGAUACUAAACUGCUAUCGGAUCAAAUGAAUAUAUAAUGUAUUUGUAUGAAUUUAAAAAAAUUAUAUAUAGUGAUAUAUUGGAGAGACAAAUACUUGAAUUCUUAAACUCCUGCCUUAUAAAGGCUUGUUGAUUGUGACGAAUCCUACUCUGUACCCUCAUUUCUCGUGCAUUGCAACCUACAUUCAGUACACUGAUGAAGAAUGCUUCAUCUUGAUCUUUAAUUUGACAUAUUUGUAGUGCAAAAUUUACCCUUUUGGUAAAAUUAUUUAAAUGGACACUUUGAUUAUGAUUACACAUGACUGAGUCUCUGGCAAGUUCGGACCGUACCUUUUGAAAUAAUUAUUGUAAUAUUUUUUGUGAUGUAAUCUAUAUGAGAUAAAAAAAUAAUUAAAAAUAUAUUUAUAAUAUAAAUAAAAUAUUAUUUAAAAUAAAUUCACUGUCCAAACAAAGUGAAUCUCUACAAGUUAAACGGGUGAAAGAAAAAGGUACGGCAUAUGCGUUGUGCACGAGAUUGCAUGCAUGGAGAUCCUGAGUAAAGGAAAAUUAUACCCCAAUUUAUGGAAGAAGAAAGGUACCAAUACUUAUUAAUACUCCACCAAUAAUAAAAAGUCUUAUUUAAUUGCGAUUGGGAAAAUGUUUCCUCCGAGACAAUUGAGUACCUUCUCGGGAAGACGCAGACCCAGAAAAUUGUUGGAUGUUUGAGGAAUCAUUGGGCCCCAAGGUUUGAUUGAUUGAUAACAACACAGGCGAAGUGAUGUUGAAGCUUGAAAGGGAUACCAUGACCUGGAGGGCACCACAGGCGCUCCAUUUCCUAUGUCUUUGGGACUUUUUAGGAGCUUGAGCCUGCAGUACACUUCAAAGUUUAUCCACUUUUCUAGAAUUGGAGUGUUUAUUACCUUUGCGUCCUCGUUAAUUAAUAACGGCUUUCUAUUCACGUUUACUUGCCCGUAACCAUGAAGCCGAAUGAGGAUGCAAUUAUUUGUUGGGCUUAGUGAUCAAUCGUUUUGUCUUGCGUAAUACUAAAUCCAACCAACCAUUGUACUUAAAUCAAUCCACGUAAUCUCGAUCGUCACCCAUGUACAUAUUUUAGGAUAAUCUUUAUUUUUAUAUCAUUUAACCUCCCAAGAGAUAAAAAUACCCCUCUACUAUGCCUUUUUUCUUUCUUCUCUCUUUUUUUAAUUCCAAAUUAUAUUUCUUUUUAAAAUUUUUUACAUUUAAGCAACACAAGAAAUGUAGGAUGUCCAUUCUCUAAUUUACAAAAUUGAAGAAACUAUAUAGAUUUUUCUGUGUAAUUAAUUAAGUUACACACUAAUUUCACCUAUUCUUUAAUUUCCCUUAUAAUUAGACAAUUCAAAGCUAAUUGCUUUUUUUAAAUUACACAUUCACAUAUCAGUUAUUUAGAUAUUUUCUUGUUUGUUUUUCUCUAACGGACUUUUGGUUAUUAGAAUCUUUUUUUAUCAUUUUCAGAAAAUAAUCCAAUUGUUAAUGUAUUCACUAAUAUACCUAUUUUUCUCUCAUGUGAAACUUUACCACUAUUAAUUGGAGUAAUCAAAAUCGCACCAAAUGUUAAAAUUCAUCAAAAAAGGGAAAUAGAAAAUUUAGAAAGUAAAGACUUAGCGUAAUAGAGAGGCAUUUUUGUUUUUCAAGAAGUUAAGUGACACAAAAUAAAUGUUAGAGGGUAAAGCAAAAAUCAAGAUAUCCCAUGAAAAGAUAAAUUAUACUUGGCCCUAAAUUUUACAAGGCGUAGCUUAUCUACAGAAGAGUUUGUUUGUAUAAUUUCAUUUGCUCCUAGUUUUGCAGGAAAUUUUUAUAUAUAUAUUUUUUACACGUAUUGGCCAAAUUUAGCAAUAGAAUGAUAAAGUUUCAGAUAAGAAUUUAGUAUAAGUGAUUAUAAUUCCCCCAUUAUUGUUUUUUUUUUUUUUGCAUCGUCUUAUUCCUCUUUUUCCAAACAUUAAGAUAAAGUCAAGUUAAACAAAAGGAAACUAUCUUUACCCUUUUUUGUAAUUGUUUUAACAGGUAGAGAUGGGAUUUAAAAAUUAUCUUUAUCUUAUAUGUGCAUGUGGUACUUUUAUCUUUAUUUUAUAUAUAUAUUUUGAGUUAAUUACUUUUUUACUUCCCACUGAUCAAUCAAAAGCAUGUGUCAGGAGCUGACAACAAUGACGUAUUAUAUGACCAUCCUACGUAGCCUUGACAAAUUCAAGACAACAAUUGAACUAAUUCUUCUUCCGAAGGUAAGAAGAAUAGAAUACUGAGAGAGAUCCAAGCAGCCCCGGGGCUAGUGCGAUAGGGGUGCAAAUGAGCCGAACUCGAGCCGCCAGUCUGCCACUGUUGAACUCUCGUGUCAAAUUUUUACUUUCGUAUCAUGAUAGUUGAAUCCUAAAAAGUCAUUGACGAAAUUCAUGAAUAUACUGAACUAAUUCCUCUACGAAAUAAGAGAGGGAGGGGGGGGAAAAGAGGAAGAUUGAACUAAACCAGUUAUCCAUUUCACUAGGCAAGUUUAUAGAUUGUUCAAAGAAGUAGCUUUCAUCUCCAGCCGCCGCUGUUGAAUAAGUUGGCACCACAACACCACCCUAACUAGUAAACACAGUCGCGAGAGAGCAAAUAUUUUCAGAAAACCAAAAUAAGAGCUAGAGUCUACGGGUACCAAAAAAAAAGUUUUUUUUUUUAUUAAAACAUAUUUGAAUGAAUUCGAUUCCAACCGUCGAUGCAAAUUGCGAUGCGGGGAGAUGAUUUUGGCGUAGACCGGUUUGAGCAACUACAGCUCUAAAAUUAAAUGUUAGUAAAUAAUAAAUGAAGGCCGAAAUUUUAGUUGAUUUAAUUAUUUUUUGCUCAAUUAAAAUUAUUAUUUUUUUUUUUUUUUGGAACGAUGCUUAUUAGAUAGAGUUCCUAUUUUACGUCGCUUUCCUCGAGUACGAUUUUAUGGUCAAGUAGCUUUCUGAGUUUGGAAACGAAAGGAAGCGAACGUGGUCACCUGUAAGGCUGCAAAACGACCCGAUCCACUCGGGUCAAGUUCGAUCAAUAUCGAGCUCGAGUUGAGUUCGAACCCGAACUCGAGUCGAAAUCGAACCCGAACUCAAGUUUAAAAUAUUCGCGAGUUCGAGCAUAUAUAUAUAUAUAUAUAUAUAUAUAUAUUAUUUUAAGUAUAUUUAUUUUUAUUUUUUAUUUUAAGUAUAUAUUUUAUAUUUUUUGAAUUUUAAUAGUAAAAUUACAUAUAUAUCUUUAAUAUUUUAUUUUUAUUAUGAAAAAUAUUAAUUAAUUUUUUUUUUAAAUAAAAUAAAUAUUUUUUAUUUUUUUUCGAGUUCGAGCUUGAAAUUAUCAGUUCGUCAAACUCGAGCUCGAGUUCAAUGAAACUAUGUCAAGACUCGAUUCGAUUAAGUCAAAACUCGACUCGACUCGACUCAUUUGCAGCCCUAAUCACCUACACUCUCGUAUUAUUAUUAUAUUACUAGGAGGGAGAGCCCGCCCGACGCGCGGGAAUUUGGCACUUAUGAUUGAAAAUAAUUAAUAAUUAUUGUUUAAUAUUUUGUAUUAUAAUUUGGCACUUAUAUUUGACACUUAUCAUGUGAUUUUAACAGAAAAAUCAAAAGUUACAUAGUGAGUCAAUAAAAUAAUGUGCAAUGAAAUAUUCUUAUAUUAUAUAAGAAUCAAUUGUGAUCAAAAGUUAUGUUUGAAUUUCGACCGCAAAGAUAAGGAUAGUUUGGAAAUAUAAGAAUGUUUGAAGUGCAAUUGAAAAAUAUCCAAAAGUUUUGUCUAAAACUUAUCCAAGAUUUAAUUUGAAAUUACCUUAUUAUAAAAAAAUUGGUGCAAAUAAUAUUUUCUAAAUUUGAAAUUGUAGGAAAUGGUAACUAAAAUCAAAAGAAAUUGCUCAUAUGAAUUUGAAUUGCAAGCUAUGGUAGAAACUGCUUAAUGAUAUUUUCCAAUGUUUACUUGUAUAAGUAUCCAAUAUAGCAAUUCUACUUAAUUGAGUCGUUUGACCUAUGAAUAAUAGUUGUUUCAAUCAAAUCAAGAAACAUUAUUUAUCAUUGUAUAGUAUACAAUUAUGAGUAAAUGAAUUAAUACAAUGCAAUCAAAAUGGUGUGUUGUUGAAACAUUUAAACUCAUCAAGUUCCACUACAAAUUCUUUUAAAUAGCAUGUUAAAUAAUAUAGCAAAACGAUUUGUCAAAGUAAAAAAACAAAUUUUUUUUGUAUUUGGAAUUCUAUAAACAAUAGAAUACAAGAACGAGAUCAUAACAUGGAAAAGCAAAUAGAUUGCAAAUGACAUCUAGUACUAUGUAGCAUGAUUAAUUUUUUUUUUUAGUUUCAAUGAAGGACAAAAUUCUAAGUUAAUAAAUUUUACAAUCAAAAAAUUUCCAAUUAAAAUAAACACAAGCUGAAUUCCAAAUCAUAUUACAUAAAAAACUAAAUAAAAAUAACUACUUGAACCAUAAUUUAUCCAUAAUAUAAAAUGCCAUAAUAAUUCUAUUCAACCAUCAAAAAUUUUGUCAAGUAUUAAACUACUGGCAGAAUUACCAGGCCUCAAUUCCAUCCUUCUUGCUAUGCUUACUGCAACACCCACACCCAUAAGUCUAUUGCCUCAGAACAUCAAGUCUCAAUCCCCAUCAUUAUUUUUUAAUACUUUACCUUCAAGAAUACUGAUUAGCAAUUUCAAGCUAUCUGAGAUUUUGGAAGAAGAUGUCAAGAUUGGAACUUCUUCAUGGUAACUUUCUUUUUUUUUUUCACUUGGGAAUUUGGAUUCCUAGUUACUUAAUAGUAGCAAGACACCGGGAAUUCUAGAAAUUCAUACUCCCUUAUUUCUAGAACUGUCAAAAUACAUCAUACUUUUACAUGGUUUAGUUUGAGUGAUAUAUAGCAUGUGACGGGGCAUGUAGGUGUAAAUCACGGCAUAUCAGAAAGUCUAAUUAAUACAAUAUUUGAUGUUAGCAACUUGAUCGAGGAGGUGAAGAUGGGAUAUGAAACUAAGCAUGUAUUGGAUCCAGUAUGGCACGAGCUUCAAUGCUUUCAAAAAGCAAAUCAAUCUUUUUCAGGACCGGAGGAGCGACUUCCUCAAGAUCGUCGUCCAACUUGCUUUUGCAAUGCCGACAUGUUAUACCCUGUUCUAAUUAAACUUUGACAUAAUAUCUAUAACUUAUAAGUAAUAAAUUUAUAAGAACAAAUAAGUUCCACUACUUUAAAAAUUAGUUCUACACAACUUCAUUCAAUGAAUUAUAAGCAAGGUGAUAAAAUUAUUAACCUUAUUCAAGAUAUGUGCAACAAAGUCAGGUUUUGAUACCGACUUCAACCUAUUCCACAAAUACAAGAAUCAGAAAAUAGUACAAUUAGUUAGUUUUUGCAAUUAGAAGUAUCAAAAAACAAACUAUAUGGAGUUCUUGAAUAAAUCAAUCAUCGAAAAAAAAAGCCACCUCAAAUCCAAACAGCUCACCUCAAUUUAGAGGAAAGGCUACGCUUUCCACCAAAUAUUUAAUAGCUAUGAUAAAAUCAAAGAGGUGAAACGGAAAAAAAAAAGGCUAUCGGCUGAACAUGGAGGCAUAAUUAUGGUGAUGGUUGUUUAGAGCAAUCUAUUGAACAUGGGGCAUAAUAUAUGAUAAUGGUUGUUCAGGUAAUAAUUAGGUCAAUUAAUUGCAAUUAAAAUCCAAUUAUGUAAACAUCCAAUUAAUUCCUUAACGGAUGAGAAAUGCUUCAGGAAAUUGGAAGGUUUGGGUGUUAGUAUAGUAAAUGAUUAAAAGGCUUUUUAUGUAAUUCUAUCAAAACACAAACUUAAUUUAGUGUGUACACUUGUACUUGAUACUCAACUUGGCACCAAAUAUUGUCACUUACCAAACCUACCCCUAGUUUUAAAUGUCUGAAAUGUUAUAUUAAGUAAUUAUAGCAAAAUUAAAGCUGUAAUAACUUGUACCUAAUGCUCCACUUGUACUUCAAACACUCUCACAUUCCCAAAAUAACCCCACCUUUACGGUUGAAAUCCAAAAUUUAUCUUUACCCUAAACUCAUUCUUAUAUAGUAUAAGGAUAUUGUAAUAAAAUUACGGUUGGAUUUUUUACUGGACUUUUGUUUUACUUCGGAGUUCAAAUGUUGCAAUUCUAACGCAUGGCCCCCCCCCCCCCUUCCUUCGGUCUUUUUCCAGUUUGAAAGUGGCGUUUCGAAUUGGCACUAAAUAAAUUGAAUUGGUUGGUCCUGACUCCUGAGUUAUUCUUCUCUUCGCACAAUAAAAUAUUUGACGUCCAGGUGUUAAAUCGGCACCAUUAUUUUAUGAUGAUUUUUUAAACAAGUGUCUAUAGGAUUUCUCUUUUUUUUUUUUUUUUUUUUAACGGCAGAACCCGGUAACAGGGGAGUGUAACCAGCCCUAACUUUUAUUAACGAGCAUGAGAUUUACAUAUUGAUAGAAUAGAAUAGCCUGAAAAUGAAGUGAAAGAUACGGUGGGAGAUCCAUUUCAACCCUUCACCAGGUGCAUUACGGCUGUUAGACAGACUACUGUUAUUUUAUUUACGCUUCAAUGUCCAAUUUAGACGUAAAUAUUUUUGCUUUAUAGCUUGUAGUAAUUAGUACCUAUAUUACAUUUAUACAAUCUCGAUUUGCGUACCGUCGAAACUCGAAACAGCCGACUGUUUACAGGAUCGUGACAUCGGCCAACCGCCAAAAAGAGAACGUAACAACGAACGAAGCUAAAAUCCACCCGAUACCUUAGAAAAAAAAAUAGAAGUCAUUUCAUUAGAAAAAGGAAAAUUCAUAUUGGCACGAUCACCAGUUACCUUAAAAAAAAGUAGAAACCAGUAGUAGAAAAAGGAAAAUUCAUACUGGAACGGUCAUCAUAAAUUAGGCAAUAAAUUCUGCUAUAUUACUUCGUAGUAGUGUAAUUGGAAAAAGUUGAAGCAGUUAAAGUCAAUCCAGCGCUAAGUGCAAAACCCGGAUUCAGGCAACCUAUCCUAUCCUAUCCUAUCCUAUCAUCAUCAUCAUCAUCGAUGUUCAUCAUCAUCAUAUGACAGGGGCAAUGGGCAUGGGGUGAAGCAUAUCAGCAGUUGUAAACUCGGCCAUGCAUGACUGAGACGGGUGUAAGUGAACUUGGGAUCAUAAACAUGAAAGUAGUACUCUACUAGGAUAAUGCAUGCAUGUGCUGACCCCGUGAGUAAAGUUCAACACUCUUUCCCGACAAAAUGCAAAUCCCACCAUUGAUCCUUUUUUUUUUUUUUUUGGAGAAAGAUUGUAUUUAAUCGGAAACAAGAAAAGAAAAAGAAAUAAAAAAAAAAGUUGGUUAGGUGAUGGCCCAUCUUUAGCUUUUUAUAUUUACAAAAUUGGUGAAUGAUACACCUAAAAUUUUGAAGAAAACUCAAAAAAACAGCUGUUCAUGAUAGAUAAUCAAUGGAAAAAAAAAUCGGAUCACUUUAAAAGAAAAAAUUUUAUCCACUUAUUUCUUGUGAAUGAAAGACUACAAACUCCACCUGUCCCAUAUGCCCCAGCGAAGCUAAUGUUGUGUGUAUUUGUUAAUUGUUACUCUCAUGUCUUUAAUGUGAUUCUUUGUUCUGGUCCAUAAUUACCCAAGACUUGUGGCCAACCAGCGUAGUUAGUAUCAGUCCUAAUAGUCCACUAGAGCCAUCAUCAUCAGCCACCGCACCCAAAAAUUGAAACCAAAGCAAACAUCUCUGUGAAUCAAGACGAAUGUCAGAGGAUGAUGAUGGUAUGUCUUGUUGUUUCUUGAAAGUGGAAAAAGUUUCAAUGCGGUCAGUUUGCGAUGUCUAUGUCACUUCUCUGACAAUUCUGCAGCUUUUUUUCUUUUUUUUUUUUUUUGGGAUAUUUAUCAAAAUGGGAUUUUGCUCUUGAUUUUAGCUUUAUCUCCUGUUCCAGCGCUUUCUGUUUCCUCUCUUUUAGGCUGUAUCUGAUAAGUUUCUUAGAAGAAGGUGCUUUUCUUCCUUGAAUUGCCAUGCCACUGUUGUAAUUGUAAUAGUGAUGUCUCUAUUACACGAAGCACAUGUCUCUUUGCAUGGUCUCUUCCUUUUUUUGAUGCCACACUUGUUGCUUUCUCUUCUAUCUUUUCCGCCUGUAAAUUCUGGACAGUCUUCCAUGGUGGCGGCUGGCUUACUUCUUCACUGUGCGUGUAUGUGUUGUCUUUUCUCGAAUUCAUUCAACAAAUAUUCGGUUUCUUGAUCAAUUUAUAGCAGGGAAGAUUAUUUUCAGUUCGAUGUGAGUUUUGUUAAAGUUGCAGUCCUCAAGGAUAUAAUUUGUUUCUCUUCCCAAAAUACUUCUGUUUCUGACUAAAUUAUCAAUUAUGCAUAAGAACAGGUGUCGUAAGUUUUCCCUCUUAUAUCUUAAUUUUUGCAAUCUGUUCUGUUCAUUAUAGUGUGGUGAAAUUUGCCCUCUUUCUAAUGGCCUUUUUUCUGAUCAUCUUGCUGUUGAUGGGAAGUCAGAGCGGAAGCAAACAACGUGGAAGUUGUUGGUUGAAAACUUAAUCACCACUGAUUCUUUUCCAUAAAUACGAUAUGGAGAAGACUUUACAAGCUUUCUGGUCCACGAUCACAAGCAAUAUGUUUCCCUCUGAAUGGAGGUUUUCUGCAAUGAGUCAGGAGGAGUAUUAAAUGCAGCUUCAUGUGAUUGAUUACAAAAAGUUAACUUUAAUCACAUGUUAUAAUCGAGGUGGUCUUAAAAGUUUCUGAAGCUUCUUUUGCCUGAAUUGUGAUUAUGCUGGGAACAAAUAUGGAGUCUUUCGAUCAAAAGUCUCUCGAAAGAGUACUUUCACAGCGAGCUCUCCAGAUGGGGAAUUCAUUUCCAUGUAAAAUUUGUGUGGUGGGAUUCCUUUGUGGGGUCUGCCUAACCUCGUUGUUUCUGGCUGCUCUCACUUCAUUUGGUGCUUUUGAGCUUGCACGGACUCCUUCCUUAAGCUUUUCCGGUGGAAUUUUAAAAACAGACUCUACUUCCGGAUGUAAGUUCGGUUUUCCCUGCUAUUUUUUCGGUCUUAAAACUUCAUCUAAUUGCGACCCACAUUACUGCUUGGGGUAACUUAUCAUGCCUAAGUUUACAGCUACUGUUGUGGGAUGAGUGUUCUUUCAGUGUCCAUAUGUGUUUUUCUAAUUCAUUUUUACAUGAAUGUGAUUGUUUCCUAAUGAUCCAUAAGCAGAGAAGAUAGUUCUCUGUAGUUCAUUAAUUUGAUGUAGAUUUUGGGUGUUAAUAGGAAGAAGUGCUGCAUUUGAUUUUUCCUCCCAAUUCCUUAUGGCUGGUAGACAUAUUCAAGAUGGUUCCUAUUUAUAUGCUUGUUAUUGGUGUUCAAUGUGACUCCAUUUGUACUUAUCAUGGUUUUGAGUAUCUUAUUUUGGGGGCUCAUGGAGCUUCUAUAUGAUAUAAAAAAAAAGUUUUCAUUAAGGUUGGCCAAUUUUGUCUGAAGGGUGUACUCAAAGUAAUCUUUAGUUGGAAGGAUUCCUAAUUGAACUUUAACGAACAAGUUUUGUGAAAAUGAUUUAGUCAAUUAGCCCCAUCCACUUUUACCAGUCACACUCCUUCCUCAAAGCCACUCAUUCUUCCCUUUGAAGAAGUGACAUUUAGUCCUUUAAUCUACCCUUUUACUUUCUCAGAAUUCUGCUGUCUAGAAUUGGAGUAGUGAAAUAUUCUCCUCCUAGGAAAUGGAGAACAAGAGUGCAUAUGAUCUAUGGUUGGACUUCAGGAAAAGAGACUUUAGUUUAGUGGGUAUUAUCUUCUUGCCCUUGUGAGUUUUGACAGAAGUUGUUACAUCAGGGUCAAAGUUAUUGAGAUUGAAAUCAAGCCAGUUUGGAAUGUGGUAUAACCGCAAGCUGUGUAGAUAUGGAUUUACAUUAUUUUCGAAUUAAGUUGCUUAAUCCAACAAAUCUAUAGAUGAUUGUAACUCACUGAUCUAUGCAUUAUUUUCGAAUUAAGUUGCUUAAUCCAACAAAUCUAUAGAUGAUUGUAACUCACUGAUCUAUGAUGUUUGUUGUUGGAAUGAUCAUCUUUGCAGAUGCCAUUAUAGGUAGUGACUGCAACUCUAAACAAAAAGAAAAGGAAAGAAUAACGUUUUCGCAGAAAAGUGCCAUCAUUGAAAUUGAUGAGAGAGUGCAACGACUGUAUUCAGUUUGGAGUAAUUCUUUAAGCAAAUCUGCAUCUGAGAAAGGUCAGUCAGGAAUCAGCAGAUUGGAUGGACAAAAUUUCCCAGAUGCACCUCACUUGGAGAACUGUAGAUUGAGAGUUGAAAUAAAUCGUCGUCUUGACAGCAGGGCUGAGAACGAGAGCUCCCCACCAUGGACAAUUUGGAAGGGAAUGUUAGAUAAUUUCCCAUUGACAACUGAUGAGCAGCAAAGGUACCUCGGACAUCAAUUGACGUCGGAAAGUGCUUAUCUGCCUUGGGUAUGGUUCCUUGCCCGAUCACAAACUUUUAGUUAUUUAAAAGUUUUUGGACGUCAUUUCAUUGUAUGUUGAAAUUGGUUUUAGUGAAGUUAAAAUUGUUUCACUCUCAUAUCAAUUCGGUUCUAAUUAGAACAUGUGAUAAUAAAAUAAUUCUAACUGCAGGUCAAUUGGCAUAUUAGAUUCCUGUUGCACUUUAACUUGAUUGCUGAAAUUCCUGACUUGAUGAUGCAAGUCACUUUCUAAAUAUUACAUUCAUUUAAAAACCAGUUAUGUCCUUGAACAGAAUAUUAACCAGUAAGUUAAAUGUGAGAAGUUUAGUAUGAAUAGUAGGUCUAAAAUGCAUUGGUGCAUUGCUGGGUUGAUUUAUAGUUUAUUAUCCAGCAUAUGAUGGGCUCUGAUUUGCUCUUGCAGAUAACUGGAUCAGAUGAGGAGAAUUAUCCUUUGACCAGGAAAGUGCAACAUGACAUAUGGUUCCAUCAGCAUCCAUCCAACUGUAGAGAUCCUAGCAUAAGGUUUCUUGUAGCUGAUUGGGAGCGAUUGCCUGGAUUUGGUAUUGGAGCUCAGAUUGCUGGCAUGUGUGGUCUUCUUGCCAUUGCGAUAAAAGAAAAACGGGUGCUUGUGACUAACUACUACAAUCGAGCAGAUCAUGAUGGUUGUAAAGGUAUUGCUCAACUCUGCAUAAAAAUUGAACAUUUAAGUUGUAAUUGAUGUGUCAAAUAGUCUUGUGGAAUAAUUAUGUGAAGUGACUUCUAUAUUUCAAAGGAAGAUACUGUAGCAGUAACUGAAGCCGCUAAUAGCGUAUUUACACUACUUGCUGUCCCCAUCUUUGAGGCUUCUAGCACCAUCAGAGACAACUUGGACUUCUAGCCCUUAUUUGUUAACAAUAACUAAAUUUAUUAAAGAGACUUUAGUUUGUUGACUGUGUUUAAUGAUAUUUAAAAAUUGCAUGGAAUACGGACUUGACUGAGAGGUUUGGAUCAACAAUAGCCAUUUAAGCAAUUUCAUCCAGGUUCAAAUUUCAGAUUCUAAAAAAUGGUGAAAUCGGUUUAGAUUUGGAUCUUCCUUUUCUGAUUUACAUGAUUUUACUUCUCUAAAGGAUCCUGAUGUUCAAUUGUAAAUUUUCAUUUUCGAAUGGUUGUUUUAGGUACUUCACGCUCCAGUUGGUCUUGCUACUUCUUUCCGGAGACAUCCCAAGAAUGCAGAGAACGAGCAUUUGAGCUUAUGCAAAGCAAAGAAGGAUGGGAAAAGGGGAUCAUAAGAGCGAAAGAGAAUUACACUUCAAAAGAAAUAUGGGCUGGACGGAUUCCCAGGCAAAGCGCUAUUAAUUUACUUCUUCCAUAUGUUGAUCCUUCGGAGAACAUUCUAAUGUUCUCUGUCAAUAUUUUGCUUCAGGAUCUGGGGCAGUCCUUGGAGUUAUAUGCAGCCCACUACAGAAAUAAAUGGGACUUUGAUUGCUUAUCAUCAUAAAAUGGAUCGAAGAUGGUGCGUGCUCAGGUAUAUCUUAUGAGGAAAGUCAUUGUUGAGAAAGAUCGAAGGUUUGGAAGCCAUAAUGUCUCAAAACGAGAAGGCCCUAGAGAAAACAAAAGCUACAGAAACAGACUUAUAAUAUUUUGCCAUGAAGCCAUAUAUGCCAAUUAAGUGUUUUAACCACCAUGUGGAUGACAUAUACCAAUAAGAGCUUUAACUAAUUGGAAGGCAGAUGACAACAUCUUUAUAAAUAUUCUCAUUAUGUAUGAGGAUGAUGAAUAGAAAAAUAGCUUGUUAUUAAUGGGUGAGAGAUCGUCCUAUUUGAAGUAGGAACUCCUUGAGUUUCGUUAAUCUUUAUCAGGCAGAAGAGGAAUUCAAAUUUGUCUGCCUGAUUAUCAGUUUGCAUCUCUUGAGCUAUCAAUUUCUCUGUAAAAAUCCAAACUUCAAAGCUUAUUAUACUUUCUGUUCUUGAAAUUUGUCAGGCAGUGCGCUAUUUGAUGAGGUUUCAGUCUGAGUACACAUGCAACUUGAUGAAUACUGCACGGCAUGAAGCAUUCGGAUGGGAAGCAGCGAAAAUGGUUCUCUCAAACAUGAAUUCAGAUGUGGAAGAGGUUCGUCAAUUUUAGUGGUUAAAAUUUUGAAAUCCGGAAAGAGUAGGAAUUAUAUCUGUACAAGUAGCAUUUACUAGAUAAUUUGACGGAGUACUUCAUAAAAAAUGAAUAAAUCUAUAUCUCUAGGGAUGCAAAAACACUACUACUUUUGUACAGGAAAGGUACAAAAACAGUUGCAUAACAAAAAGUUCAUGAUUAAUUGCUAGAUUACGUUGUAUCUUACAACCUAACCUCUUUGGCAGGAUGCUGUAGAAAAGAACAGGUAUGACAUAGAAAAGUUUGUAUGGUCGAAUCACAAACCAUGGAUUCCUAAGCCUUUGCUAAGCAUGCAUGUGAGAAUGGGCGAUAAAGCAUGUGAAAUGAAGGUGGUUGGAUUUCAGGAAUACAUGCAUCUAGCUGAAAGAAUCAAAAGGCGCUUCCCUCAUCUUAACAGCAUCUGGCUUUCCACAGAGAUGCAGGUACUGAAAAUCUUGAGCCUUCCAUGUCUCUUUGGAUUGUCAAUUUAAAGAAAGGGGACCGUGCAAGCUUUCUUUAUCAAUCAUUCUCAUAGCAAUAUUUACUCUCAGGAAGUCAUUGACAAAUCAAAAUCGUACCCUCAUUGGAGAUUCUACUACACAAACGUGACGCGACAAGAAGGGAACACUUUGAUGGCAACUUAUGAAGCCAGCCUUGGCAGGGAAACAAGCACCAACUAUCCCCUGGUUAAUUUUUUGAUGGCUUCUGAAGCUGACUUCUUCAUAGGAGCAUUAGGUUCCACAUGGUGCUUUCUCAUAGAUGGCAUGAGGAAUACAGGAGGAAAAGUCAUGUCAGGAUACUUGAGUGUGAACAAGGACAGAUACUGGUAGAAGCUUGUCAAGUUUUUCGCUGCUUCAGAAUAACUUGGAAUGAGCAACAAUUGGUGAGUAAGCACCGCAGCAUGGCACUUGGCAUUUCCCCUGCAUAAUCUGCUAAAAUCCAAGUGCAAUAUGAAAACCUGCUGCAGUGAUUGGGUGACAUGUAUUCCCAGGAUUGGAUUUCACUUGGCCAUUUACUGCUUCCGUUCUAUUGUGAUCGACAUACAAAUUUUGUGUAAUUGUAUUUUAGCAUCCUACUGUAAGUAUCAUGUACAUACAAGUUUUGCGUUAUUGUACAUUAUCAUGUAUAUUCACAUCUGCAUAUGACCCGAAGCACUUCUAAGUCAAAAAACCUCCAAAAAAAAAAAGUAAAUAUUUAUUUCUUUGAGCGUUUUUUUUUUUUUUAAUGACAAAUUGCUUUGUGCAGUGGCCUUUUUCUAUCUAUUGUUGUCUCCAUGUAAGAAAUUUCUUGAAAAAUUUAAGCAGGUCUAUAUAAAGAAUUGACAAACACAUCAGCCACGAAUCUGUCCACAUCUAGAAAGGAUGGAGCAAAAGAACAUAACGAAGUGAGAGCGAGCUUAGCUUGUGGAAUGACUAUUGGGACGUGCAGUCUCUGCUUCUUGGACCGCUUGAUUGCUGCAUAUGAUUAUUUCAAGGCCCUUCAUUUAUUUCCUGGCUUUCACGUAACAAAGCUGGUGUUUUUUUGGUACGAGUAUUUGGGAGAAGGGUACGCAGAAGUUUUGGGGGCAACUAUGAAAGCGAUUGUUAAUGUCGUUGGCGUGACUAGAAUGACUCCUCCAAUCAAGGAUUUACUUCCCCGCUUGACUCCAAUUUUGAAAAAUCAUCACGAGAAAGUCCAGGAGAGCUGCAUUGAUCUUCUUGGUCGAAUAGCUUGCUUAACUUAUGUACCAGGCGCUAAAUACAAGCUUUACUUGGAGCAGUAUCAGCCAGAUUUCAAUCACAUAAUAACUAAGGAAAUUUGCGCGAACAGCCUCCUGACUUCCUGGAGGUCAAGGGUUUAAUGCUUGCUUGCCUCCUACCGAACUUGUUACUUAAUUGUGGUUGUCAUCUUCGGGUGGCUUCCCUUCCCUUAAACUAGGUUAGGGUAGAUUAUACAACUGUUAAUCAUUGCGACCCAAAAAAAAAAAAAAAAAACUAAGGAAAUUUGGAAAUCUUGCCUGGCAAAGAUAUUUUUCUGGUUUCAAUCAAAAUCAAUGUCGAAUGGCAAUCAUGACUGCAAAUGAAAAUUGAUCUGAAAAACUAUUUAUGCCUUUCUGUUGGCACAUCACAUGUUUAUCAUCAUAAACCUUUUUUGAGUCCCCUUAGGUAUGCUUCGCCGCUGAUGAGCUUAGACUUUUGUCAUACCCGUAUCUCUCACCCAAACCAAAGAAUAAAAAUAAAAGCAUCUGGUCCUUUGGGGCAAAAGCAGUUGAAACUUAACCAGGCACAAACAUGAAAUGGCUGCAACUCAUGCUUUUGUUUCAUUUAUUUCCCCAGAAGUGUUUACUGGCAAUUGCGAUGCAAUGUAGCCACUGGUCCAACAAACGUAGACCUUCACAGAAAAUCAUGUAAAACGUAAAAACACAACAAAAUUAUCACAUGUUGAAAUUUAUAUCCAAAUCUCAAUCCCAACUACCCAUUUUGAAUGUGUUCAUCUCCCACCAUGAACUAAUCCCCACAAUCACAACCGUGAUUGUAGGAACCUCAAUUUUUUUAUUGAAAUGACAUAAUUGGACCCUUCGUUUCUGAUAGAGGUCAGAGUAGCUUUUGACUUUUCUGUAAAUAGCCAUGUCCACAGAUAACAGCAAAAGCUAAAAAAGAAUCCAUUUUUUCCUAAAGAAAAUCCUUCCGCUUGAGGUAGUUUCAACUAUCCAAAGAAUUAGGAUCUGAAACAAAACUUAAUAAUCACGGGUGUAGAUACACUUGAAGCAGUUUAGGAUUAUCAAAGGAAUAAGCAAUAGGAUUCUGAUUUUCACUUCAAACAACAAUACAACAGCUAAAGAACAUAUUACAACAAAGAAGCAAUCAUGUGCCACUCCCAGAAACUCUCCCCGCAUGGUCCGCAUGGAGAUGGCCGGGCUCUCAAGGACUGAGCCUUGCCUCCUUUGUUGUUGAGCAUCCUGAAACACCAGAGCAUUAGGACUGCUGUUUUCAUAUUUACUCAAAUAUCCUCACUUGAAUGACGUCCAGUCUCUGGAUUUCUGCUAGCAACGUGCUUUUUGUGUUUCUUGCUCUUUGCUUUCUUGGCUUUCAUUCGGCGUUUUUUCUCAUUAGCAUCAACCCAAGCAUAGUCAGGUGGUAUGUGGAAAGGGUCAAUCUCCUCCCGGAAGCUUCGGCUUUCACUGUCACUUGAUUGACCACCACGGCUACCUGUCAUCCAUGAAAUCCACGAGGAAGACACCUCAGACUUAGCAUCAUGGAAAUGCACAGGGCUGGAAGGAGGGGUGCAGAACUCCUCUGUUGGCUGAAGCUCCUCAAACUUCGUGAACGUAACAAGGACCCUGAUGGUUGGUACUAUUGGAAUGGCAACCUGCAGCAUGGAAUCUAUUAAUCACGGAGUGACAAUUAAACCAUUCAAGAUGGUAUGCUACAUAUACAAUGAACGAGAAAACAGCCGCAUCCAGGAUAGAUUUGUAAGAUCGUUUCAAAACCACACAAAUACUACUAAAUAUGGAGAAUGAAGCACCAAAAGAUUAGGCAAAUAAAAAUUGGCUAAAGAGGAAUCAAAAAUCAAUCCAUACGCUCUUUCAUAGAAAGAAACUAAACACAUAAUUACAACUUUGAUCCUAAAUGAAAUCAACACAAACUUCAAUACUGCAUCAACAAUUAUGUUCUGAAGCAUUAGAAAUUUCAUUUCAACAUAAUAAGAUGUAUUAAUUAUGAAAUGCUAGCUUAUAAGUGAUAUGAUGAAAUGCAAGUUUAUCCUGACAACUUCUGAUGCAAAUUCCUGAAACCAAUUUUCUAACUUCUUAGCUCCAGAAUAACAAAAUAACUGCCAACCAGAAGUUAAUUGUAUAGGAUAAUGCAUAGCUUCAGUUUCUACAAAUCAGGGAUACAUGAAAGCAACAUAAAACAGUCCUGCAGCCCCUGUACCCAACUAAACAUGCUUUUAGCUUCUAUAUUUGUUGCCUUCCACCGCAAUAGUUUGCCUCCUUAGGAAGCCUAAGAACUAAUAGACAUCGGAAAGCAUAAAAAUAUUAAUGGCAAUCCUAGUCCCUAGCAAAACCGUCUCGUCAAGACUCAUUAAGUGCCUGUUUGGUUUUGAAAAAGCUGUUCAAAACAUUGAAAAGAUGUCAUUUUUUCAAAAUAUUGUAAAGUCAAAAGCCGUUUUCAGAAGCAGCUCAAGGUCUCCUUAUCAGAUUCAGCUUUUAAGCUCAAAAUAAGCUAAUAGGCAAAAGCACAAAUUAAUGCAAAGGGAAAUCCUUCUAAAUGGCAUUCAGCAUUGAGAAAGCUAUGAUCAGCAAAUUUUAUGCUAAUAAACACGCCUUUAGACUAAGCUAAUGAUAAAAUCAUACAACUGAAUAACAUUCUUGAAUUCCCUUCUUUCAGGACGCCCAAAACUCAAUCCUUAGCUUUACAAGUUCAAAGAUCAUCAGAACCUUGCAGUACUAUUAUUUUCCUCUCAAGCGACUCUUAAGUUGUGAGUAUGUCAGCAUUCUUUCACUUCUACCGGAACUCUUUGGGGGAUUUUUUUUUUAUUUGGGGUGGGGGUGGGGUGUGGGGGAGUAGGCAACACCAGUAUGUAAUUAGGGGUAGGUGAUAAACAUCCCCCUGAAUAAAAAGACAGCUAGCUGAAGAUUCUUCCUAAUAAGCACCACCCAAACCUGCAACAGUGUCCAACAAUUUUUCUUGACAACACCACUCACAUUGAGUGAUAUAGCAGUAACUACUGAUUUAGGACAGCUUUGGAACAUAGAUCCCAACAACAGAAGUAACUUUACAAUCAUUUGGCAGGGCAAUGAAGAGGAUCCCUAAUGAGGGGAUCAACUUGUCAACAGUUGUGAUGAUCCAUCAAGCUUUUAUAAGAUAAGAACGUCAUUCUGUCAUGUUUAUAUUAUGGUUCUUCCCAACAUUUCCUUGUUUAUUUGCAUUUACUCCACAACCAAGCACAGGCACAGCUCACAAAAUUCUGAAAAUGUUAUCAAAAGAACCAUAUUUGCAACCAAAAAGUGUCAAUUCGGCAAGAUGAAGAAAUGAAUCUGUAAGAAAGACCAGAGUUUGCAAAUGGGACAUGAUAGUCCACAAUCAGACAAGACAAGAGCAUAUAUUUCUCAUUUUUAUCAGUCAUAUUUAUGCCUAACAGAUAGGACCUAGAGAGAUUGACCAUGCAUCUUUUAAACUCACUUUUGAAGAAUGAUUACAACAUUGCACGUGACAUGCAACCCACACACUCAUGUCUGCCAAAUCAGAAAGUUAUUUAGUGAAGAACUAAAACAAUUCAGCAGAUGUAUUUAUUUCACUACUCAACCAUGCAGCCAAAAAGAGUACUUUCCACUAGAUUCAAAGCCCUUUAGAAUUUGACUCCCACAUGCACUCAUCAAGGGAAAGAACAUGCAUGCAAAUUGAUAACUGGUCAUAUGUCAGAUUUACAUGCAACAAAAAGGUGAAUGUUAGGAAACAGGAAAUGCAUGAAGAAACAUACUUUGUUGAUGAAAGACAAAAAAAAAAAGGAAAAUAAUUCAAGCACAUAGGAACAAGAUGUUUGUAAGUGACAGCCAAAAGCCCUUCCAAAGAAAAGAAAUGGAAGCUAGUGUGCAAUUUAUAGCACAAUCACUACUAAUACCUUAGCAGGAAAUGUGCCAGUAGGUAAUUUAGUAGUCAAUAGCUCCCUCAAUCUUCUGAUUGCUUUCACCUUAUUGGCCAAUAUAUCCAACAGGGGCAAGAGUUCUUCUGUUUUCAAAGGGAAAUCUGGUGUCAACCACAGAACAGGCCUUAAACCUUUUUUGUAUUCGCUUUCAUUCUUAGACUCACUAGCAGCACCUUUCUUCUUCUUCUUUUUAUUGCUUUUAUCCUUGCUCUUCUUAAUUUCGCCAGCAUCCUCCCUUGGAAAUUCAGAUGUUGAUCUAUGACUCUCAUUGGGUCUCAGCUUGCUAUCUUCAGGAGCCAACUUCGAGAACUUCUUAACUAUCUUUGAAUCUUCAGGGUCAUCUCCGGUGUUCUUUCCGCCUUUCUUGUUCCAGCCAAACCAGCUUUUCUUUUCUUUGGUAACACCAUUGGGAUCACAAUUUUCAAAGGAACCACCAUCGCUGUUUUCAUGCAAAUCCUGAACUUCAGUUUCCUCUUCCUCACAAGGCCCCUCUGGAUUCCCCAUGCGAAGUGCAGAAUCUAAUUGCUUUCUUUCCUCAGCUGUUAAUACGUCAUCAUACUCAUCAUGUUCGCCACCAGUGGCGACCCUCUCAUCAUCAUUCACUGAGAAAAGCUCCUCAUCAGUCAUGGCUCCAGGAACUCUUCUUGACUUCACGCUGACCAUCACGUGUAGCAUAUCAUAGACCUUGGCUUUCCAGGGUCCAACCAUCUCGCUCCUCUCCUGUCGCCUCCAGUUCAAAUGGGGAACAAGCUCAGCUUGAGUAACAUCAAUUCCUGGCCUAUACAUGUUUGUUUGAGACAUCAAGGCCACUUCAUGCGCAACUUCAGCUUCUGUUGGUUGCACACCAGCUCCUUCCAAAGCAUUUGUAAUCUCCUUCUCCUUAUGAGCAAGCACAAUCAGUGAACCAGGAGGCAAAGAUAUUUUGCCAUCUUCUGAUGAAUAUCCCUCUCCCAGAAAAAGAAAAGUUUGAUCAGAGCGUUGAAUGCGAAAGCCAUCAAAUCCUGCAAGGGUCAUAUCAGCACGGAGAUUAGCACCCCGUUUCCAAAUCCUGUAAGUGUCUGAAGGGGCAAUUCUACCGAUAAAUGGUAUGACUGAGCUCUCAAAAUGAAAGGUUAUUUCCAUGUAAAAAUCCCUUAUCCUGCCUGCUGAAGCCACAAUCCUAGGAAGCCUACGGCACCAUUUUGCCCAAGCAAGAGGUUGGUAAUGUCUGGCAAUUAUCAUAGCAAUAUUCUCUUCCCUAGUACAAACAGCCUCUUGAAGCGCGCUCCACCCAUUCUCAUUUUGAAGACUCCAAUCAGCACCGGCCGCCAUCAAAAUCUCAGCAGAAAUGGGAUCCCUCAGCCUAACAGCGAGGUGCAAAGGGGUCUCACGCCCUGGAACAUCCCGCCUAUCUACAACAGCUGAGACUGCAUCGGCAUUAAGCUCAGCAGCCAAAGACUCGGCUUCAGUAUUUACCUCCCCCGCCUUCGCCAAGUGUGGAAGAGCCCCCACGAUCUUUCUUAGCCCAGCAUGGUCUCGUUUAGCGACAGCCAAAUGAGCAGGACUAUGGGCAUAUUUAGACCAAUCUUCCAUUGAUUUGGGUCCAACCACAAAUCUUUCCACUCCUCCCUAAUUCCAACUUCUUCAGAAAACCUAGAACAUCCCCAUGUUGCUACCAAAAUUCAGUCAGAAAAAAGAAGAAAGAAAAGAAAAAACCUCGAACAAGAACCUUGGAUUUAACGAAAAACCAAGACAACAGACAUUAUAGCUCAAGGGUUCGAAGCAUUAUUCCGGAUUAAAUUUAACCUAUUCACAUUAACUGCACUCCGACAUUGCCAGUUUUGGAAAUGAAUUCCGCGGCCUAAAAAACCCUGCAGCACCUGAUCCCAAUAACACCCUCACCCAGCUCAAAUCUGAACCUCGAAAACAAAGUAAAGCAAAACGAACAUGUCAUCAGCAUUAAAUUAAAAAGAAGGAAAGAAAGAAAGAAAUUCAACAAAAACGAAAAUCAACUAAACAUAUCGAUCUAGGUCCAGCUUAGCAACGACAUAUACUUAACCUAGGGAAACCUAGACGCAUAAACAUCCAUAUAAGCUAAAUUACAUCUGAACAUUAGAAACUGCAUAGAUAAAAGUUGAAUUUACCAACCUGAGGAAGUGGAAGGGACGGAGUUGGCUGUAGAGAGAGAAAGUGUAGGAUUUGAAGGAGGAGGAUUAAGCGAGUGAGUGAGUUUUUAUACUAGUCGAGACUCGAGAUCGAUCUCUCUGUUUUCUUUCUCUGCUAUCUCUUUCUCCCUCUCUCUCUCUGCAGCUCUUUUUAGCUCUCUCUCUCUCUACAGUGAGAGUGGGGAGGCUGGGAGGUUAACAACGGCCUCACCUGCUGCUCCUUUUAAUUUCACCCUUUCUUCUUUAUGCUUUAUCCUUUAUUUUAUUUUUCCUUUUCUUCUCAAAUAGCAAAAGAACAAAUAAUGAGACAUUUUUUUUGUGAUGUAAUAUAGUGUUUAAUAGUAUUGGAAAAAUAAAAAGUGAUUGUAAAAUAUGCUGAUGAUGUAAUAAAAAUUUGGUUUCCAAAAAACCAACUAUUUGAAAUUAGGAGGUGUUUGGUUGGCAUUCAAGAACCGGAAUUGCUAUGGAAUUAUUAAAUCCUAUUACGGGUAUAAAUUCUUUGUCAUUGCCAUUUACUAGUUUGGUUUAGAUUUGGAAUGAAUUUUAUUUCACUAAUGAAUUAAUAAAUUUGAAACCCAAAUCAUGACCGGAGAAUUAAUAUGAGAUGAAUUUUAACACUUUCAUCCCUGCUGACAUAUACUGAAUAAUAAGUUUGGGUGUCGUUAAUUUCAACACUCAUUAUUUACGAACACCAAACAUCUCCAAAUCUAAUUGAAAUUUAAACAGUUAGAGUUACAGCAUGUUGUCAUGUGUUUUUUUACGUACUUUAUUUUGUUGUUUACUUUUAAAAAAAAUUGUUUUAUUUUUGUUGUUCUCGAUUACUUUCCAAAUUUUACUUUUUUGCUCGUUUCAUCAGAGAAAAAGGACCUUGAAAAUCAAAACUAACAGAAGUUGUACUUUUAAUUUCUGAUGAUGAUUCCUGUAAUAAUCAGAACCAUUUAAAGCUUGCGAUUAUGUCCACAUCCAAAUUCUUCUUGCUUCUUAGUCUAUUUUACCAAGCACGAGAAUUCAGAAUUUUAUAUCAUAAAAAAUAGAAUUGAAGUGACUCUCUUCGUUUUGAGCUAGGUAAUAAAUGUCCAAGUGCCAAAAAUGCAACUUUCAAGUGCGUUAUGAAUUGGAAACGAAACUUCCAAAUGUAACGCUGUGCCAUUCAUUUUCCUGCCAUUUACAAUCCAAUCUCAUCCUCCGUAUCGUGUCUAAGUAACGGAAAUGGAAAUAAAGAGCAACGGAAAAUGGAGAGAUUUUGCCCCGCCUUGAUUUUGGCAGUAAAAAUUUUGCAGGCCCCCAAAUGCAAAUAAAAGAAAAGGGGCCGCCGCGUUUGGAGGGGCUGGAGGAGAUGAUGGUGACCCAGCGUGGCACGGUACACUCUUCUGAUGGAGCAGGCCCUGACCGGAUCUGGGCCAUCUGGGACACACUACUGUAUUUUGUGACAUCUUUUUUUUUUUUUUGGCUUUGGUUCUGUCGUUUUCUUUUGUGAACCUGUUACACGUAUCUCUUACCUUAAUAAUAUUCUUUAUAUGUUUCUUUGAAAGUGUCCAAAAUGAUCCUUUUGAAUUUUGCCUCUGAUGUGAGAAAGAAAGGGGGAACGAUAAUGCUAACCUUUCAUCCAAAAUGAAUGUUAUAGUACUAAUAGACUUUGGAUAGCGAUACAAAAUUUAAGGAAUGAUUGAAUUAUACCAUUUCCAUGUCAAUGUUUUGGAUUCUUCCGGUUCUCUUCUUUCUACAAAUGAAAAAUAAAAGUGAAAAUAAAAUCAUUUGAUGUAAUAUGUAAUUGCCCAUUUAUUUGUUUUAAGCUCAAAAAAGAAGGUGUGCUUGUAUAUUUAAAACUUUUUAAAACCGUGUUUUCUACAAAUAGUAGGAAGGCAAAUCUUAUACUAAGUGACAUACGAUUUAAAUGAUAUGUCGUAAUUUACUAUUACUACUCUCUUUGUACAUGUAACUCUUGUGUUUGUCUUCUUUAGGUUUUUCUCUUCUUCUUAUUAUUGGGACUAGCUAUUGAGACACGCUCGAUGCGUGUAUAACUUGUCAAAAAAUCUUUUUAAUUGAAAGAAUUACAUAAAUAUUACGCUUAAUAACCAAAUUUCUACACACACGGACACUUUCCUCUGUAUUCAACAAAGCAAUUUAUGUACUUUUUCUGGCACCAAACUCUUUUUCCAAAUUUUUUUUUAAAAAAAGAUAAACAGUCUAAGAUAAGUUCACGAAGAAACUAAAUGGAAAUUUUGCAAGUGCUAAUACUUUUUCCUAGACGAUUACUCUUACCAUUUAUGUAAUGCCAAAUUUCGAGUGUUGUAUAGAAAACAAUAGGCUUCAGAUGCUUCUCGGAGAUAUGAAAAUUUGACCUUUUUUCUUUAGAAAAGCAUGCCGUCACCGGAGAUUCAAGUGUUGCUUGCGGGUCCUUCUCCAACUGCAGAGUAAUCAUGUUUAAGUAGCUAUCCCCAGGUGAUGCAUGCAAGGUUGAUAUACUGCACUUUACUCACAUAUAGUGUAGGAUCGGAAUGAAGUCCAUCAUUUCCGGAUUUUGGUGGAUCUACCAUGUGAUAAUUAAUGCAUCUCUUGUGCUGCAAUUUUCCAAUUAAUCGAUAACCACCUAAGCUUAGCACUCGUAGCAGGUAUACCAGAUGUUGAGAUGCCUUGAAUUAGAUCUUCAACCCUCGCUGAGCUGUACGGGGUCUCGCUGAGCUUACGGUAUAUAUUUUACCGUGUCUGUUUUAUUUUGGAUCUUGUUUUGGCCUAUUUUGGGUCCAGUCUGUUUGGUUGUAUAUAUAUAACCUUAUUUUAGUCUGUAAACCAUUCCGAUUACAACCCUAAUAAAAUUUGGUUUCCUCCAAGUUGUUCUUGUCUUUUCUUGUUUUUCUUCUUUCUGUCCGCUGCAUCUGUUAUAACACCAGAUUAUGCUGCAAAGUUCUAAGAAAAAAAAAAUGAUUAUACAUACUAUUGAAUUCAUGAUACGUUAGUUAUUACUACCAUUAAUAUAAAUAUCUUUAUUUAUUGGACACUCAUUAACACACCUAUAUUUCACCAACCUAUCAUGUAUAUAUAUACUACUUUUUCUUGCAUUUAUAUAUUUUUUCUAAUUAAUCCCCUUGGCAUUUAUAUAUUUUUCCUAAUUAGUCUUGUAUUUUUAAAAAUAUAAUAUUUGAAAUAUAUUUUAACGAGUACCCGUAAGGACCUAUUAAAUAAACCAUUAUUUAUUAGGAUGCAACGCAUGAACGUUAAUCACUCUAUUAUAUAUCCCGUAUAGAUUACUAUUAUUUGAAAUUUUUUUAAAAAAAUAUACUGUAACGAUUUAAUGCAUGUUAGGUGCAAAAAUAAAGAAAAAAAUAAAUUCACAAAAAAUCUAAAAAUAUUUUGAGAAAAAAUGAUAAUCCAAACAAGGUCGUCGAUCAUAGAACACAUACAUAUUGAAUCAUAUUGAUAGCCAGAAACUUCAACCAUCCUUUAUUUCUGAUUAUCUUUUCCACCAUUUGUUGUCCCCAAACUCAUGCGUGUGGCUUUCUCGUCAUGCCUCCAAAUUGGAACAACAGAUCGAGUGGAAAUUAUUAUGCUUCCCAGUAGGCGUAGGCGUAGCUAACAGAGACUAUUUCCGAUGAGUAAGACUAAGAUCCCAUCUGUACGAAAGGGCAGACAAUGAGUUACAUGAAAUAUUGAGUCGGGAUUUUGCCACUAAUACGACAAAAAAUACACAGACAAACAUUUCUAGUAGGAGUAGACUACGUAUUUCUUACGCAAUCUUCAAAGAGAGAACUUUUCAUAUAACUGAAAAAGGGUUAAUAAAACAAGAAGAAGAAGAAGAAGAAGAAGAAUAAAACUAUGCACCAUCCAUCAAAAUGCUUUACCGUGAACAGUAUUGCCAAAGCAGUCGCCUUGGCUUGAAGAUAACUUAUUCGUAUUCAAUUUAGUUAGUAAGUCCUUCUGGGUCAGGAUUCAGGCCCAUCUGUAAAAUAGCGGUGCUUUAUUUUAUUUUGUGGUGGCUCACCACUUAUCAACCACCACUGCAUUGUUUUUGUGCCUGACAAAGCUUGUUGGACACUUGCUUCUUCAGAGUAAGAUACAUGCAAAGCUUCAAGCAGGAUACCCUUGUGGGCAUGGUCUCAAAGUUGCAAUUCUUGCUGUUGUGUCACCAUAGCCUUUGGCGAUGCCAUUAAAAUUUUUGGCCCCAGUUCUCUCAUUCACAGCACUAGUUACAUUCAUAAGCACUAACCAAUACUUCAAAAAAAAAAAAAAAAAAACCAAAACACUGGGUUACUUUUUCACUUCUCUCAGUCAUCUCUGUAGCCGCCAAAGGCAAAACAAAAUGGGGGAAGUUGCUGCUUUAUGAUAUCUAAAGGUCUUUGAUCAUAGAUGAUAGAACACAAGUGCUUUAAAUUUCCAGGGAGUCUUGAAUAUGGUGCGUACCACGUAUUUGCGUCUGCAAGUGUCCAACCAUGUAGCUGUACUUGCUGUAUUGCUGGCAUGAAUUUAAGGAAGCCUUUGCUUCCCAUAACUAAUGUACGGAUGCGAUGUCGUGUUUCUUUAACUGAGCGAGUUUCAGUACAUAACCUACCCCACCACUCUUAAGAUUUGAGCUUCCAGCCUCCCUCGUCCUGCAGAACAACCUUCCCCACCUCUCUACGGCUUAUUGAGGAGAGCAGAGCGAGAUGUGAUGCGAGAUUUUACAUUGCAAGUAUGCUGCGAAUAAGAAAUGGGAAACGAUCAGAGAAUAAGAGAAUAAACAAAAUACUAACAAUUUCUCCACAAGCCGCCUGGGGACUCGAAAUGAUUUAUACAUAAAAAAUCGUGUAAAAAGAUUCUAUAAUAAAUUUACAACACCGCGUUGCCCAUUUUCCCUAAUUGCGGAUUGAAAAAACUACCGAAUCCGUCCCCUAUACAAUUAAAGCUACAAUUUUCUAGCAAGAACUUCACAACUGAGUAAACCAUCCACGGAAUUUGCAGACCUCCCAGCACCCAAGACUGGAACAAGGUUGAAUAUGGGGUCGUGGCGGUCUUUCUUUUUGGGUUUUGCUCAGCGAAUUCACUGAAUACCCUGGUAAAAAUUAAUAACAAUUCUGCAUGAGAGAUGUGAAGCCUUGUUGCAAAAUAGAGCCUGAAAGUCUGCAGAAAGAAACGGAUGGUUAGACAAUCUGCAAUUUGACGCCGUAUGCAGAAAAUCACGGUAAGAUGCAAGUGAUUAGUGCCAAUCCAAGGAAAAUCCCUAAAUUGAAGAUUGUUACUUUGUUAAUGCAAAAGUAUCUUACCGUGACAUCAUCCCAAGAGAAACGGUUCUCUAAUAGAAACGCAUCCAGAAGAUAAACACAAAAUUUUGCUAUUCCCUCAAUCUGGUUCUCAACAAGGGUAUUACAGCCUGCACAUCUUGAAGAAGGAACUUGGAACAGAUCUUUCCCACAAUAUCUUGUGUCACGGAUAAGACGGCAGCACAAAGUCUCCCAGGCACAACACAUUUCUGCAGGCAUUCAUCAUGCCAGUUUUCAUGCUGGAAACCACAAUAAUCUUGUGCCACAUAACUAACUUCACCAGCCUUGUUAUUAAGAGUUCCUUUAUUGCCCAGCACAUAAAGCACAGGCUUUACUUCUACAAGAGCCCUGCAUAGAAGAAAUAAUGCCUUUCUUAGGAUAAAAAAUUGUGUAUGUUGGCUGAAGCAAUUGUCAGAAGGAGAUAUAGCUAUUAAUUAGGAAAGCUUUCAUUAGAUGCCACGGCCAAGUCAUCUGCGAACUUUAGAUUCAUUUCUUGAUGCAAAUAUUCACUUGUAACAUACCUAAUUCAAUGGAUAGAUGUCAUUCUUAUUAAUGGACAGAAACAGUCGAACAAGCAACAGAAAGAGACUGCAUUGUAGUGUGUUUCAUUUACUUUUAUUGUUCUCUCCUUUCGUGAUACGAAGUACCGAUAUGUGCAUCAUUAUUGUCAUAUCUAUACAUAAUUUUAUCCCAUUCCCCUCCUCAACCCUUCUCAACAGAUUAAAAUACCCCUACAUCCCCUCUCAGCUAUUAAAAACAUCUGCUACCAACUAAUAAAAACAUGCAAAGAAAAGUUGUCUCCAAUACUCAACAAGCUUUGUAGUAAUUAUAAAGGGAAGGAAAAUAAAUAGCACCUUUUUGGCAGAUCUGGAACCAGAACAUAUAAAAAAAUAGGAUCAAGCACGUCAGAUGAGCAUCGAUUGUCGAAUCAUUUAACUUCAUUUCCUUAAUAAAUAAGUUUGUCUUCUCAAGGGCAAUUCGGUCAGAUUCAUUCAUUGAAGCUGAGCAGUAUAUGACAAAUAGAAUAGCGGAUGUAGCUAUUGAACAGUUAAAGCAUUUUGCUAUUGCUUCACUAUUUUCCAAUGCUUGCUUGAGCUCAACUGUAGGACCUCCACUAGAAAGCAGCAUCGUUGGUGGGUCAAGACCCAAUUGACCUGCCAUGUAGAGAAUAUCCUUGUGCAGCGUUGCCUGGCAAAGGGGAAAAUGUACGCUUGUCACUUCAUGGCUUAAGUUAAGCAUUAUUAAAGCCAACUGGUUAUGCAAUCUAAAUUUGCAUGCUGACAUAAUUAAACUCCACUCUCUAACAUGACGCUGUAACUGGACAUAAACACUAAACUGAAUUCAGCACAUGAACUUUAGUGUAACUUAGCAGACAACUUCUCAAUGACAUAAAAUCGCUAUAAGACACAUCAAAACCAGUAAAUUCAUAGGUCAAAUUGUUCAAUAUGAUUAAAAUCAUAAGCCAAUUGAACUUUCUAAUUAUUAAUGCUUUGACCAGACAUACUCUAUACGAUUGACAUAAUGCAUUGCCUAUGCUAUUGUAAACUGAAGUUACUAAACAACUGCAUUUUUUUUUAAUAAGGUAGUUUAAUCUAUUAUUCGAAGCAUACAGCACUAGAAGCCUAAAUAAAUACAGGAUUUCUUAGUACAAGCUCUCAUACAUAUUCUUCUCAUUCUGCAUAUGGUACUGAGAAAAGUCUAACAAAAAAGAAUUGAUUAGUAGGCAAAAGGUGGGCUCAAACAGAACAGAACCAAGCACCCAAAUCCGAAGUACUACAAAGUGCCAAUUUUAUAUACUUAAAGGAGAAAGCAGAAAAUGUGACAACCAAGGUAAUUGAAAAGAAAAGAUUAGUUUUAUGACCUGACUAUAAGGACCAAUGCAACUAGGAGCCCAGUCAGAUAUACUCUGCACGUGCAAAACUCUUUUAGUUUCAUCAUUGGCAACCAACACUUCAAUAUAUGCCAUCCCUAAACCAACUUGUGAUAGAGGAAGCUCAACUGUGGAGCGUGAUGGUACGCCAAAACGGCACUUAUCUUGAGUAAUGAAUCUGAUGUAUGUUUCAUUUGCAACUGCAAAUUUAUUCAUAUCAGCAAUGUAAAGAUGAAUAUAAAAUACAUUCUCCCAGGAGUAACAACAUUCAGCAAGUUGCAAUUCGAUUUUCAUGAGAACAUACUCCAAAUCUGCCUGCAGAUCUGUCAAAUUUAAAUUUAAAAAGAAGUAUUAGACAUGUAAAACUGUUUUGAUGCAAUUCUUAAGCUUAUACUGUAAAUACAUCUACUAACCUCCUGAAGUUUUAGAUGAAUCUUGCAACCAGCAUGAGAUAGAAAAAGUAUUAUCCAUUUUGGUUCUUGAAAUCUGGAGUUCCUGACUAUUAACAUCUACAAAUUUGCUGGCAGGAUGAUUAGACAUACUAAUGUUUUCACAUCUUUGUUGACAAUCUCCUUGGACUUCACAUACCAAAUCAAAUUCAUCAUCGUUUUUGUUACUUUUGCCCAAGGGCACAGUUUCUGCUCUUUUCUCCAAGUGGAAUGCCAAAGGAUGAAGGAUGCCAACGGGACAUAUGGGAUCUUUUGAAUGCAAGACAAUUUGAAAUUCAUCUAGCACAAUGCGGGCAUUCUGAAAAAAGUUCAUUGCAUCAAACGACAUUUUAUGUCUCCCCCCCCCCCCCCCAACAAAACAAACAAUAAACCACAAAAAUGGGUGGGGCGAGACAAAGAAACUAAAGCUGUACAGAACAAACUUGGUAAAAGCAUUUGGUAAAUUAUACUGAACAACUUAGUGGGUAUAAACUAGAUGUUCCAGAGAUCAGUAUCAAAGAACUUACGACUCCGUAAGUAAUGAGAGAAGUAUACAGUAAGAUAGGACAGCAGUAAAGACAUGUUCGAAAAGAAGAGUGUCCACUCACUUUAAAGAGGGGACAAUCAAGAGUUAAUGUUUCAUAUUCUCCUCCUUCACACAACAUUAAGUCCAUAUAGCCUGCCAGAUUUGUUGGUAAAAAACUUGGUAUCCCCUGUAUCUCAAGUACAAUAAAUAAAAAUUUUCUCAUAAUUAACCCGACAUACUCUUUCAGCUUAUGAAGAUGUGGUUCCAACCAUGAUAUUUCUUUCCCCAAGUGUUUUGAAGGAUCCAAACCCAUGGCUGCAACCUGAAAAAUCAAGAGGUCAGGUUACAGUGAAUCAUAGCAGAAACGCUUGCACAGGGACCUGUGCCAAUUUUACAAAAAUUAAAUGUAUAAAUUAUUCGUUUCUGAUAAGUAAAAGCUACAAUGAUUCAAUUUCACCUCAAGAAAACCGUAAAUUUAUGUAAAUGUGUCCUAUAUAUAUAUAUAUAUAUAUAUAUUAUCGCAUCUAAAGGCACAUACUUUCUUGUGCACUUUACUUCCAUCCACCAUUUGUUUCUUCGAAAUUGAUGCAGAAGACAAUAAAAAGUGUAUGCAGAAAAGUCAAAUAGUAAUAUAGAAUAGAAAUACAUCAAUGCACCUACUAUACCUUUACUGUGAUGGCAACAAUUCCAGCUUUAAUCUGGGGGACACAUACAAAAUUUUUAGAGUUGAUAACUAGAAAUACAAAAAUCUGUCUUUAAUAUAGAUAAAAUCAUAUUACCAUGUCUCCAAGGAGUAAUGACUGGUCUUGCUUCCAUAAAUAUGCCAAAGAAACAAGUCCUAACCUUGAACACACUUUCGACCGCGCAGUCUUUGAUAAUCAGAUGCAAUUGCACCAGAAGACACAGCAGCAACAGAGGGUAUCUGUUGUUUCACUUCAUUUAACAAGAUGAACAUAUCCUCAACCUCAUCCCAGGUGUGGUACUGUAGGUGAGGCCAUGGUGCCUGAAAUCCAACAUUCAAUUAGAAAAAAGAGAUUAUAUUCCAAGGCAUCAAUGUUUUACAUGACUCCCAAUUAAAAUGAUCAAUCUCCAAUUUCUUCACCAAUAGCAAAAUGAUCACACUCGAAAAUAUUUUGACAUAGUAAGAAAAACUAAGGUACUAAUACAAAAAAAAAAAAAAAAUAACCAACUGUGAACGUAAUAAAGAUUGAUAACUUUAGAAUUAAUGUAAUCCUAAAAGGAUUGUAUAUUCCUCAAACAUGAUAUUGCUUAUACCCAAAAAGAAAUUUCCAUUUAAGCGGCUUGCCUUGUGGAUCCUUGUAUUCGCCUUCUAAAUAAUGGAAGACCCAUGCAUUUUGCAUAGCUAACGACUAUCUGGUGCCCAACCUGCAAAUUAAAUCUGGAAAAUGAAUUCUAAUAUCUAUUGUUUAAUAUGUCAUGAUGAAGAAAAUAAUUAAAUAUCAAGAGAUCUACUACUUGAUUGUAUCAAUCAGUUUUCUAAGGAAAAUCUUUUCCUUUUGAUCACAUUUUAUAAAUUAGUGAUAAAACCAUCCUCAUCUCAAAUCCCACUCUGUCUCCACCCCUACCCAGAAAGAGGAAAACAAAAGGAGGAAACUCAAUGCAUAGUGUAAUGGUCAAUGUGGAACAAAAAACCAAUCCCAAAAAUAAAAUAAAAUAAAUAACUAGCGAAACUGCACAAUAAUAUUUAGUUACCACUCAUAGAGCAAAACUUUUAAAAGUCAUCAAUGACUUCAUCUUUUUGUUUUUAAAAAAAAUGCACUCUCAUUAUUUUUAGAGUAAAUUUUAUAUAUAUUGACAAUAUACAUUGUCACCGUUGGAUUCAUGAUAUAUGUGCAAAAGUUAAAUUUUAAAUUCAAAUUUUACAUAUUUGUCAUUCAUUCAACGUUAACAUUGUAUACAUUGUCAGUAUAAGAAAAAUUAAUCCUUAUUUUUAAUAUACACAUACUUCUCACUAAUUUAAUCAUGGUCACCUUAAACCUAUGUGGAUAUGUUUAAACAAACUUUUGUUUUUCUUCCUCUUACUCUUCCUAUUCAUUUAUCCCUUUUAACCUUAAUUUCUAUUGAUCUUUUCUAUUCUUUUUUUUCAAUUAGUUUUGUCUACCUAGUAGUUCAUGUCAAUGUGCAUAUAUCUCAAAGUCAUCCAUUGCCUUGACCGAUGGAACUUAAUCUAUAAAGAUUUUUUUAGUAGUUGCACACCUAUAUUACACUUAAAUUUUCAUGUGAAUGUACAUAUUAGUAAUAUUUACUAUGUUCCUCUAUUUAGACACUAUUUAAAUUAAUUAUAUUAAAAAAAAUAAAUACUCUUAACAAGUUGCCAUUGGGUCCCACUUAGCCAAUCCCAUUUUAAAAUCACAGUGGUUUUGAAACAAUAAUAUUAAACUUGAAAAAAAAAAGUUUAUCAAGACAUACAUUGUGCAAAGGAAAAUAGUGAAAUAUUAGACCAUUGCAUGUAAUAAGUUUUUUUUUUAUUUGUAAAUGAGAGGUCUUGGGUGUACUUACAAUUCCUGAUGAGAUUUACAAAUUAUACUCUCUUUUAUUAUUAUUAUUAUUCCUAUAUUUUUCUAAAAUUGGUAGUUGAAAUGGCUUAAUCAAGUGAUCUUGAGUUUCCAAACAUGAAUGCGGCCUGCAACACCAGAUGCAGCCGUGCAAUCAUGGAUCAUGAGUGGGCUCUGGGCUGGGCGUGCUGGAGAUCAAAAUUUCACCAAAUACAUCAAAUAAAUCAUCAAUUAAGAUGGCGGGUGGCACAACCACUGGCCUUUGGCUCAGUGGACACUAAAAAAUUCAGACAGAUGUACUGUGCAUUCGUCUGGUCCGGUGAUGAUUCAGAUCAUUCCGAUUUAUUUCUGAACCUCCUUAGAUCCAUUCCCUUCUUUUUAAUGUAGGAUAUAUUAGGUCACUAGAUUAGGUUUAUCGUCUUCGAGAAGAAAAAAAAAAAAAAAAAAAAAAGGAUGGCGGUGGCACGAAGAGACCUUUCACGCCGAGAAAUAACCAAUUAUUAUUAGAGGUAUCUUCGAGUCUCAGCCUCAUUAUGGAAAAGUAAAAGUCCUCAGAAUUAUUCAAUUCCAGUGAGUGAAUGCAUGCAUCAUUAUGCCACAUAAAGACGAACAACCAGAGGUGCUUACGAUUGUUUGUCAGUAGACGGUGUCAAGUUUUAGUAUAUUUUCCAUGUAUUCUUUAUCAUGAUUCUACAAGUACAUGGAAUUAGCUUGUUCAACAUCAAGGGUUACUAUUUUCGUUAGUAUUUAAUUAACGUAGAUAGAUUUAUGCUUCCUGGAACAGAUGCUUGGCUUGGGGAAAAUUCAUGAAGAAAAGUUUCAUGCACUAAUGUGGCAAACUAAGAGCUGAGAAGGUAAUGAGACAUAAAUAUAUAUAUAUAUAUAUAGUAAUGAGGCUCUUCAUUUUUUGAUUUUUAUUUUCAUGGACAACGUGUAGAAUCGUUAUUAAUUUAGGAUGCUUGAUAAAACUGAAUUCUGAAAAUUCAAAUUUGAAUUCGCUCUGAAUCUGAUACAUUUGAAUGUAUACCACAUUAUAAGUAAAUAGCUUAUCGCUUAUACGUGGACCAAGUUUUAUCUAAAAAAAUUUAUAAUAAAUUCAGAUGUCCUUUUUUUUUUGUUAUCAAAUAUAUCUAAAUAUACAUGUUAAACUAAAGUGCUGAAUUGGAUCAUCAAACAGAGUUUUAGUCUACGUACAUGAUUUGUGGCUCUAUUCAUACAUUCUAGUGGUCUUGCAACUGGUUAAAAAAAAAUAACAAGUAAAAAAAAUAUCCAAGCCUCGUUUAUACCACAUGAUUUUUUGUUAGUCUUGUUGAGAGUAAAAGCGUGAGAUAUUGAUAUCGUCAAAUCUUCGCCAAUAAGUACAACCCCUUGGUCGUUGAACACACGUUUGUUUGUGAUUUUACAUAUUCAUUAACAGCUAACUCGGGUUCUCAUUUUAUCAAAAGGCAAAAGAUAUAUAUAUAUAAAGAAAAUUUUAAUAGAAUGUCUUUUUGGCGGAAUGUAUGAUAAUCUUUUUGAGGAGGAAAAGAAACUUGUCGAAUCCAGGGGCGCUGGUACUCAUAAAUUAAACUCAAGGAUAAAGCUCCUUUAUCACAACAAACACGCUCCUCUCAUUCCCAGCCUUCCUUUUUGUAAUUUUUAGAUUCAUUACUUGAGCGAGUAGGGUACAAAACUUAUCUUAAUUUUUUCUUUCCAGUCAAUAUUCCUUUCCUUUUAAAAUUAAAAUAAGAUAAUUCUGGUUUAAUACUUCUAAAUCCACAAUUUCAAAACCCCAAAAAAAAAAAAUAGUGCUAUAAUCCUAGCUGGCUCCAAUGAAAUCAUGAAUUUCAUCCCUCAUCAAAAGACAAACUGUUUGUCUAACGGAUACUUGUUAAGAUAUAUUUCACGUGUUAUAUAUAUAUAUUUUUUAAAUAUAAGAUUAAUUAAAAAAUUUAAAAAUAUAUAAGGAAUAGUAGACAAGAUUAAAUAGGAAAAAUAUAUAAAUGCAAGAGAGAAUAAUAAUUGUUAGUAUCUAUAUAUAUAUAUAUAUAUGAUAUAUUAGGUAAAUAUUAAAUGUAUUACCAAGUGCUCUAAAGGCACCCAUUAAUAAAGAACCCAAAAACAAAAUCUGUAUACAAUAAAGAGUAAAUCUUAUAUAUAUACUGACAGUGCGUAUAGUAUUACCGUUAGAUCAAUGACAUAUAUGUAAAAAUUAAAUUUUAAAUUCAAAGACACCAGAGAAUCCUUUUUUUUUCCAGAUUGAUUUAAAUUUUUUUUUUUUUAGGUGUAGGGUCGGUGGAUUUGGCCUUUUUGGUUGUGAAAGUAGCAGGCGAGAAUCAGUACAAAGAGGAGAAAUUUUACAGUUACAUGUACACAACGCAAAAGAUUAUAAAAGAAGCCCAAUCGGAAUAGAUUUAGUCACCAGCCUAUAAUGGAAUAGAUUUUGAAGCAUGCUUGCAUCUUUUUUCCUUUUUUAAUUGUUUGUAUUUUGGACAUAGUUUUGUCAGAGUUGUCAGAAUUGAAGGAAAGAUUGUAAGGGUAUAUUUGCUCGGACAAAAGUCCAGAAGGUAUUUACACUAUUGCAGGCUAAACCCCAAAAAAUUUCAAGGCACUAAAUCCUGAAAGCAAGGAAGAAACUUCGAAAGGACAAAUUUGUACGAUAAAUCUUAGAAGCCUGCUUUAGCAAAUUACUUGGGCAUUUACCAGGAAUUAAUAGCAGCAAAUGAAACCAAACAUCCAAAAAGCAUUCCUCUCAAACAAAAGCCAACAAAAACAACAAAGCAGCCAAAAAAAUAAUACUAAUAAUAACUCGUGGGAAAAGUGAAGAGUUCUAUAAAUUUGACCAGAAUUUUUCUUCUUGGCUGGACAUGAAGAAGCUUGCAACCACUAUUAGACAUUUUGAUCUCAUACCCUCAAGGUUAUAUCAAUGGCAAAUAUUGCCUGUUAAAUGUCACAUCAGAUUUCUCCCAAAAAAAAAAAAAAAGAUCCAAGAUGACGGUUUUGAAAUAAGUCGUUCAUAUUAGUACUUGAUUUACUUAAACAACUCGUAUUCUUCACAUUGUAUUUGGAAUUUUAGCCUCGUUUGGAUUGCAUUUUCUUGAAUUUUUUAUAAAAAAAUUAUUAUAGUGAUUUGAUGUAUGUAAGGAGAAAAGGUAAUAGGGAAUCGUGAUCACGGAAAGCGACGCAAUUUUUCAAUAAAAAUGGCUGUCCAACCGGGGCAAAUUUUCAAAUCUUCAAUCAGUACUUGAUUUACUGAAUUCGAUUAUUGCCACAAUUUCUAAGUGGAUUUGGAUAGUAAAUUAUUUGAGAUAAUUUUUUGAAAAGAAUACUGUAGCACAUAUUUUGAUGUAAUGUAUGCAAGAUUAAAAAAAAUUGUUAGAAAAUGUAUUAAUAAGACAAAGAAAUAAAUUUUAGUAUAUAAUUCACUGUCCAAUACAUUUCUGUAUUUAUUAUUGCACGAACAUUGAAACAUCUAUUAGUGAGUACAGAAUUACUUGAAACUUUUUUAUCACAGCAAAGAAUUUCCCUCUUUUCUUUUUAGUAUUUUUUUUUUGAAAAAAUAUCCUGGGCCGCACUAUUAUUGUACGGCUUACCCCACAUAAAAUGGAAAAUGAAAAGGAAAUAAAAGCGCUCCUCCAAGGCUCCAACUCCUCCUGUUCCGCCCGACAACGCGGCAUCGAAAUUUUAAAACUUUUUCUUUGGUCCAAAACACCCUUCACAUUUGGCCAAAUUCUUUAAUCUCAGUACUACUAUCGUCAAGCCACUGGAGCGACAACCAUAACGCCAAUCAGGAAAACGGCUUCGGAAUUUCCCUUGGUUUGCUCCGCCCCUCAACGGAAUAAAGCUUUUGCGUCUUAUACUUCUCCAAAUUUCUACUACCCAAAAAAGUGGAAAUUUCUUUUAAUUCUGAUUCGCCGGCCACAUUACUCUGUCAACUCUUUGAUUCAGUAAUAAUUCUUUCUUUCUUGCUUCCUUCUAUAAAUACUCGUUACUUUCUGGUCGUUCAUCUGUUCUUUUUGGUGGGUUUUGUUCUUUAUUAUCUGGGUUACUUGAUUAUUUUUCUUCUUUUUGACAUUUGAGGAUGCGAUUGGUUUUGGCAAUCAAUUGAAGUCUGAGCGGGACUCAUAUUUAGUUUAAAAUUUUGAACCGAAUUCUCUUGAGAAGAUUGUUGAUGCUUUUUUGGGAGAAAAGCAAAUUAUUUGAAGUGUUGCUGUGCUGGCCUUUCUGGGUUUUCCAUUUUAGGAGUUUUCUAUUAGUAUAGCCCGAGAAUUGGGCUCUUUAACGGUCAUUUUCAUUGAGAUAUUGUUUACUGGAAGUGUAAGUAGAAAAUGAGAGCAGAAUGUGAUUUUUUGUUUCUUUAAAUCUUCAAUGUAUUUCUACUUCUUGUUGCAUUCACAGUGCAUAAAGUUAGAAUGUUUGAGACGAGGAGAGAUUGAAUUGUUUUCUUUUUCCGCAUUUUUAUAAUUCUUGCCUUCUUGAAAACCGUAAGUUUCUAGUAACGGAAAUUUUUUGAUGGGUUUUUCUUCCUGAUUUUUUUAAAAUUCUGACGGUAAUAAUUGACAUUCGCAUUUUCUUUUUAGCUAGGGCAUUUUUUUUUUAGAAAAAAGGUUUAAUGGUGAUUAGGACCCUUGACAGGGUGAUAUGUAUAAAGGGUUUGAAGAAAGAGAGUGGGGUUAGUGUGGUCUUUUAAACAAGAAGCUAAGCUCCAUUGCAAUCAGUGCUUCUGACACUCAUGUUUAUCUAAUUAUGAAUCAGAAAGCACAUUGAUUGAUUCUCUUUUGGGGGUUCUCAUGAUUUCUGCUCUAGGUAAAGAGGGUUAUCAAAAUGAAUGCCAUAAUUUCAUUACUUUUCUGAAGCCAAUGGUGGGAAUUAUAUAAACCAAAUGUUCUUGUAUUACAUUUCCGUGUUCCACGGAUCACUUUUUUCUUUUCCCCCCUUCAUUUUUUUAAAUAGUCAAUGUUUGUUAGCAUAAUCCCUAGCAGUUUUCUACUUGAUUUGUGAUUCUGAUGCUGCCUUUUGCUUUCCUCUAUGAAUUUCUCACUAUUGGUAAUCUCUAUGUUUGAAUAGGGUAUCUGAUACUUCAAAAGUUUCUAUGUGGGAGUUCUGAAAGUAGAGAUAAAUUGAGGGCACAGAGAUGAAGAAACUCUUCUUUUUCAGAUCAUCUUCAUCUAAUGGUGGUACUAAUCAAGUUUCACCAAAAUCAGCUCAUAAGCAAGUCUAUUGGGAUAAACAAGCAGAUGGGAAUGACAAAUCCAGGAAAAAAAAGCAAACCACUGAAAACUGUGCUGCUAGUAGGACACCAUUUCUUAGAAGAAGCCGUUCAUCAUCAUCUGCAGCCAUCUUUGAUGGUGGGGCUAUCCGAAGUACUGGAAUUGAUCAAAUAGGGUCUCCAUGUAGUACUAGUAAUGGGUCAGUCGAGCAAUUUGGUCGCCAUUCAUCUCGGUAGGCGCUGAAUUAUAAAAUUGUCUUUUGAUGUUGCCAUCUGUUGGCAUACUAUUUAUUCUGUUAAUAUGAAAAUAUGGUAUUUGACAAUAGCUUAUCCCUUUUGUAGUCGCACUCUGACUCCUGAGAGGCAACAUCGGACAAAGUUCUUUGAAAGUGGCACUGUUCAAAAUGGACACAGAGUCGAGAAGCGUGGUUGUGUUCCUUCUUCUGGGCUGCAAUAUGAUUCAUCAGAAUGUUCCUCUUACAGUUCGAGUAAUGUUUCAAAUGGAGUAUUGGACCGUUAUAUUGAUGGGGAAGAACAGCUGGAACAGAGCUCAUUGCAGGGUAAGUUUUCCAUGAGAAAUCAUAUUGAAAAUGUAAAUGACUUGAGAAAGCAAGCCACAGUAGUUCAGCAUCAUGCCUCUGUUUCUCCAACCAAUGAUAGGACACGAAAACCUAAAUCUCAAUCUUUUAGAGAAAUUGAUGUAGCACAGCUUCAUCUUUCAUCAAGGGAUUGGGUGGAGAAUGGCUUUGGCAAUGAAUCUCCUAGGAAACUGGCUAAACAUGUGGUUGAGAGACUUUCCCAGGCAAAGUUUUUUCCCAGGAAAAGUUCAAAAGAAUUAGAUUCUGACGUUCCAAUCACAGUUGAAGACAUCUAUAGUGGAUCCUUAACUAGAAGUCCUAGUGGAGAUUCUGAUGGAGUUCCUCCAAAAACUUGUACACUCAAUGAUGUUAAUGGAGCUUCUGAUGGAUAUGCUUGUGAAGAAACCUCAGGUUUUACCGGUAGAAAAUGCUUCUUUGCUGACAGCUGUGAAUUCUCAAAUAACAUUGUGUCAGGAGAAGAUGCAGAUUUCAAGUUAGUUAGCAAGUUUAAGGAAGCUGAGGAUCAGGCCAUGGUUCUUUCAGAAGAGCUUGAACAAGAGAAUUUUCUUCAGCACACUGAGCUUAGUCUGCCAUCAUUGGUUCAGACAAUUAGAGGCUUGAGUGUUGAAAGGGUAAACAUGGCUUACAAUGUUUCAUCUAUUCUGAAGGAUUGGAUUGCCAAUAGGGCUUCUCUGAAGGAAGAACUUAAAGAAGUUAGGUCAGAAUUGGAUUCAAAGACUCGGAGAUUGGAGAAGGAAAAGAAUGAGUUGCAAUCAGCUCUAGAGAAAGAGUUAGACAGAAGGUCAGGUGAGUGGUCUCUUAAACUGGAGAAAUACCAGGCAGAAGAACAUAGACUUCGUGAGAGGGUAAGGGAGCUUGCAGAGCAGAAUGUCUCACUGCAGAGGGAGGUUUCUUCUUUUUGUGAGAAGGAAGCUUGUAUAAAAAGCAAGAUGACACAUUCUGAGCAACAGGUUGAGGACCUGACUACAAAAGUCAAGGAAUUGAGAGAAGAAAAGCAAAACCUGCAGAAAAUUUUGUCUGAGCUGCAAGAGAAGUAUAGUGCAUCUGAAGAGGGUAGAGAUUGCAUGCAAAGAAACUAUGAGGAGAAGGUGAAAGAAUGCAAGGACUUGCACAGGUCUAUUACUAGAUUACAGAGGACGUGUAGUGAACAGGAAAAAACAAUUGAGGGAUUACGUGGACUUGGUGAGGAAAUUCAGAAGAAGAAUUUUGUGGAGAACAUUGAUAAGCAGCUAGGGAAACUGCAAAUGGAACAAAUAAGGUUGACAGGGCUGGAGCAUGCAUUGAGGAAGGAGGUGGAGUCUUGCAGGCUUGAAAUUGAUUCUCUUCGUCAUGAAAAUAUAAACCUACUACAUCGUUUAAAAGAUGCUGGAAAGGAGGGUGGUUUUUCAACGUUUAAGCUAGAUCAGGAAUUGUGGAAUCGUAUUUGCUGCCUGCAGAACCAAGGACUUUCUUUCCUUGCGGACAGUGCCCAGCUGUGCAAUAAAUUACUUGAGUACAUGAAGUCAAAUUCAAAUCAGUUUACUAAAGCUGGGUUAGGUGUUGAAGACACUGGCUUAAGUAGCCAAUUUAUCAUUGAAUGUGAGGUGAAGCUCCAGGGUUUUAACAGAGGAAUUGAAAACUUAACAAAGAGCUUGUCUGUUGUCUCCACUGUGUUGCAUGAAAAGUCUCAGCCAGUCUCUUUGGAAUCUCAGUGCCCCGUUUUAGGGGUUGACACAUGUCACAGCAAUCAAAAAUCAGAGGUAUUUGGUCUUGACAUAUGUUAUUUUGUUUGUAAAUUUUCAUGUAGAUGUUUCACUCACUUACGUUCUAUGACCCUGUUCUCUCUUAACAUUCUGUUUCAAUUGUAAAGGAUAUAAUACAAUCAGAGCUCAAAGCUGAAACUUUACUAACAACUUUGUUACGGGAGAAGCUUUAUUCCAAAGAGCUGGACAUUGAGCAACUUCAAGCUGAAUUGGCAGCUGCUGUUAGAGGGAAUGAUAUUCUUAAAGCUGAAGUGCAAAAUGCACUGGAUACCCUUUCUUGCUUAAGUCACAAGACGAAAGACCUUGAACUUCAGGUAAUCCUACAACCUUACUAUUUGGCAUGCUUGUGUUUAUAGCAAUUUGAUUUGACUGGAUUGCAUUGCAAUGUGCACCAUAAAUUACAUGAGUGACAAAUUUUGUUAACAACUCUCCACAUUCUCUAUUCUGAUUUUGUACUUUCCAUGGAAGGUAUUGAUUGUGGUCUUAUCAAAAAGAAAAAUGCGUGGCUCAAAGUCACAAUGAAUGAAUAUGCAUAGAGCUGAAUAAUCCUUUUGCUAAGCCUAUUUAUUCACAAAAUAUCUUGUUUAUCUCGUGCAUAUUUCUUUUCUUAUGUUGCAGUUUGUAAUUACAAAGGAUCAUGGAUUUCAUAACUGUUAACUCAUUUAAGUCUGCAAUGCAUCUUGGUUAUUCCAAAUGGUUAAGCAGAUUGUGUCUAGAAUUGAGAAUGAGGGAAGCGAUUUGAGGUUUAAAUUUGAUCUUUUACUUGCGGUUUAAUUUAUGGUGCAUAUUCCAAGAGAUACUUGAGAAUCAGCUUUAGUGCUAAAUUUCGUCACUCAUGUAAUUUGUGAUGCAUAUUGCAAGGUGAUCUAGUCAAAUUAAUCAGAGUAGACCUCAAACUUCAGGAAAUCCUGCAACCUUACUGUUUGGCAUGCUUGCGUUUAUGGCAAUUUAAUUUGACUGGAUUACCUUGGAAUGUGCGCAUUAAAUUGCACAAGGUUAAGCAUAUACUAGUCGUGUAGCAGUCAAAUCAACUGAAAUGAAAAUAAAUUAACUAGUUUCGUUGGAUAAAACAUAUAACUCACUGAGGAGUUUGAACUUUUAUUAAGUUUUUAACACUAAAGCAGGUUAUUAUCUUGGUGCUUAUGCUUAAUCUGUUAAUUUGUGAAAAUCCAUUGUGUAUUUACCAAUUUGUUAUCACUCUGAAGUAUCUUGCAUGGAAUUUUUGCAACCCAAUGAAAAGGUUUUUGUUUUACAUACUGUUUUGCAACUUAACUGGCAUCUUUCUGCUUAUUGGCGCUACAUUGUUAGAAUUAUUUAGUUUCAUACACUUGAACAUUCUGUUUCAAGCAUAUGAUUAACCACUUGUCAGUAUUCUUAUGACUUGAAGUCUCACUACUCAAUUAGCAAGCCUGUGUUCUGAUGGAAGUUAUGCAGCUCAAUUGGCAUAUUACUUGAGCUCAUGGCUGACAUAAUUUUGAUGUAAUCCAUCUUUACGGUUGGCAAUGUUCUAUAAAUGUCUGAUCAUUUUUGUAUGCUAAGAAAAGAAAAAGGAACUGGCGUUUUCUGCUCGCUUGCCUUACCAGUAUUAGGUAUUUUACAUUAAUCUGUUUCAGUGGUAAGAAUUGUUUCUGAAGUCAAGAAUAUAGCGAUUGUCUGUCACCUGAGCUAAUGGGGCUGCAAUUACUUGUGGGGUAAUAACCUGAUUAGACAGCUGACAUUGCACAGAAAUGGUAGAAGCUGUAGUAGAGUAUUUGUAAAAGAUUUUUUCAAAGUUUUAUAAAUUGUCUAUGAUUUUUACGGGGAAUGACUUUUGUAAAUUGCAUGAAGAUGUAUAUUUUAAUUUGUCUAGAAUAUCUGAUUUGGCCUUUUACUGAUGUACUUUAUGUAAAAUGUGAUAAAUAAAAAUUGUUUAGUUUUCUAUGUUGUUAUUACUAUGAUGUACCUUCUUGUUACCUGGCUUUGCUACAUCUUUCUGACAGAUGAUCAAGAAAGAUGAGAAUAUCUAUCAGCUUCAAAAUGAAUUGCAAGAAUACACCAAGGAACUGACAAUUGUUAAGGGAAUUCUACCAAAAGUGUCUGAAGAGAGAGAUUUGAUGUGGGGGGAAGUUAAGCAGUAUAGUGAGAAGAACAUGUUGUUGAACCGCGAGAUCAAUAUCUUGAAGAAAAAGAUAGAGGGACUUGAUGAAGACAUACUGCUCAAAGAAGGUCAGAUUUCAAUAUUGAAAGAUGCCCUGGGCAAACCCUUUGACCUGCUGGCAAGCCCAGAUUCGGAGCAUAAAUACUUGGUGAAUUGAGGGAUAAACGGUGAAUUUGUCAAGAUUGUUUAGAACUGUUCAUAUUUGUACAAAUGUUUUUGUUGGUUGGUUUUUUUUAAUUCUUUGGCUAUUAUUUCUUGAAAAUGAUGUUAAGUACUGUAAGGUUUGCAAUCAACCGUGCAGUUGAUAGUGUUUUUGAGUUUUGCUAAGACGAGAAAGUUAAAAACUUCUGCUAUGGAUUCAUGGGUGAAGUUCUUUUCCCCUCCCUUAGAUAUACAUAUCUUUUCUGUAUUUCUAUAUUUUUAAGUUAGCCUACGUCCUUCUGAAGGAUACGUGGAGAUGCUAGAUUCGAGCGGAACGGUAACAGGGUUCCGGGAUUCUGUAAUUACCAGUGUUAAAUAAUACAUAUCAUAACAAUAGGCAUAAUGCAGGUAAUUUUGUCAAUCAUUGAAGCUGUGCUUACAAUUAAUUUGAUCGAUCUAAUCUCUCAAAUUAAAUAUAGUUGGGUCACUGAUUGUACGAUAUAAUUGCUCGGACAAUUAUAGAGAAUCCAGUCCUAUUAUUGCAAUGAAAAUUGUAAAAGUUGAAGUGGUUAGCUCAAUGUUCUAAGCUCAGAUGAUGGUGGAUUGGCGACAGUGGUGAGCUCUAUAAUCUUCUGAGUAGGAGGUAAAAUUUUGCUAGGAUUGGGGCAACCACAAUAGGGUUAGUAUUUUUAUUUCAUCUAAUAUAAAUUAAAAUAUAGGAUUAUAUUCAUGGAGAGUUCUCUAGUGCAUUUUGGGUAUUAUAUUGAUGAAUAUCAAUUCACCGUUGGAUCAUAGAUAUGUGAAAAGAAAUAUCACUCUUUAGAUGAUUUUAGAAGUUUAUAUUAUUGAAUGAUGUGACAAGAGUUUAUUGGAUUAUAAUCAUGAGUAUAGCCUUAUAUUCACAUGAUUGUAUUUAUGCCUUGGAUUAGUGUAAGGUUGCAAACAAGUCAAAUCAAAUUGAGUUUGAGAGAGGGAUGGAUUGGAUGAUACGAAAAGAGAGUGUUUAUGAAAAGUCUCGAGUUCAAAACCUCCCGCUUAUAUUAAAAAGAAAAAUGUUGAGUUUUGGUCUUAUCGAGCUGUGCUCGACUUAAUUUAUUUUAGAAACUUGAAUCAGAAUGCUAGUUCCACCAUGGUCAAGUUCAAGUUCAAAUAAAAAUGUGAAAAAUAUUUUAUUUUUUAAAAUGGAUAAAAUAAAUAUUUCAUCCCAAUAAAUAAUAAAAAUAAAAAAGAGUGUGCAUGUAUUUUCACACUAAAAAUAUAAAUAUGAGCUCAAUCGAUUUGAUAAGCCAACGAGGCGAGUAUUUAACUUGACUAGCUCGCCUAAGGGUGUGCAUUCUUUACAAAUUCAAUUAUUCGGUUAUUUGAAUUCGAUUUUUUGGGUUAUUUCACUUGUAAAACUUUAAACCGUUUUUAAUUUCGAAUUGGAAAUAAACGAAUUCAUUCGAUUACCAAAUUGAAUUCGAAAAUGGUCAUGAAAUCGGUUAUAACCGAAUUGGAUAGUAAUUUUCAAAUAAUUAAAAUGGGAUUCAAUUGUGUAGUUGUAUACACCUAGUCACUUAUAAUUUACUAAUUAUGCGUUGCAUUAAACUUACAUUUAUUCUUAUUUUUUAUAUAGUUUAAAUGCUUAAGUUGCAAAUAACUUGAUUGCUUUCAAUGAUGAAUGUUAGUACACUAAUAAGUUGACAUGUAAUUCAUAUACAUUCGCUUAGACUGCUUAAUUAUAGUGCUUAGUUGUUUAUGUUUAAUCAAGAUUAGUGAUUAGAGAAUAUUAAUCCACAUAUUAUAUGUGUAAUAUAAUUUUAGAGUAUACUAAUACUUGCAAGAUAAAAGUUACACGUUCAAAUAUUUAAUAAUUCAAACAUGAAUGACGAACCAAUGUCUAAAUUCUAAUUACUAAUGAUGUGUAAUAUUUAGUACUAUACUUAUUAUCUAAUUCUAAUUAUGUAUAAAAGAAUGAGUAUUAUAGUUAUGUAAUAUUGUAUAUUUGAAUUAUUAUAAUCAUAUAACAAAUACUAAAAUAAUAUAUUUUUAUUAUGAUAGGUACAUGAUAAUACUAUAUACUAUCUAUUAUUAAUAGUCUUUACUUAUAUAAUAUAUUAAUACUAUAUAGCAUUUACCUAUAUAUUAUAUAAUUUUUUAAACUAAUUUCGUAUUUGAAUGCGGCAAUAUGGUAUCUUAUUUCAUUUUAUCGAAUUUGAAUUCGAAAUUGAUUAUUACCAAAUUGAAGACCUCGUUACUUAUUUCAUACCACAUUAGAAUUCAAUGAAUUCCGUAAAUAUCGCUUUUGUAUCAAAGUAUCGACUAAUCGAUUUCAAACUACCAAAUUGAAUUUGAAAUCGAAUACAAAUUUGAUCAAAUUACCAAAUUACGUACCGAAUUCGGUGACCCCUAGACCCACCAAUCAAACUCAAGUUCCACUCGACUUAGUGCUGACCAAGCUCUCGCAAGCGCUUGAGUGACUUGCAGCCCUAUCUUUUAGUCUACGAUACAUUAAUUACAUACCAAAUUGGAAGAUUUAGAAAAGAAAUAGAAUCCUCUUAUAAUUCCAAAAAGCACCAGCCCAGGCCCAUUUAUUGAUGUUGUCAAUCAUUUUAGCAAAGCGCACAUAAAAGAUUUUGCUAAAAGAUUUAGGCUAAAAGAAAGAUUUGCAGCCCUAUCUUUUAGUCUAUGAUUCAUUAACUACAUACCAAAUUAGAAGAUUUAGAACAGAAAUACAAUCCUCUUAUAAUUCCAAAAUGCCGGGUCCAAUUAUUGAUGUUGUCAAUCAUUUCAAGCAAAGCGCACAUAAAAGAUUUGGCCAAGUUUUGCAGGGGCAUCGGGGUAAUUCAGCACAAUUAGGAUAUAUCUUUAAAGCAAGCAGGAAUCCUGCUAGACAUCCUAAUAGGACAAAUGGAGAAGAUGUUAGUGAACCGAAAUCCCCUUUGAGUCUCAGAAUUUGGGAAAUAGAUGCGACUAUGCCAUUGAGAAGUGCGAGAGGGUUUAGCUAAAUUUCACAAAAUUAACCAGGAUGAAGGGAUCAAAGAUGGAUGAUGAAGAGAUAGAAAAGGGAGAGAGGCAGAUGGUGAGGAAGCGGAAAAGAAAUGCUGGGAUUGUUGUCGUCGGUAAGUCAAGGACUAUGCUAGAUCAUCUACCUGAUGAACUGCAAUCCGAUAUUCUGACUCGGCUUCCGGCCAAGAAUCUUCACCAGUGCAUGUGCGUCUCCAAGGCCUGGUGCUCAAUCGUCCGGGAUCCUCCAUUCUUGAGGGCUUACUUAAGACAGCAACCCCAUGGCAGCCUCCUCGUCUCUAUCACUGAUGCCAGAGAUUACAAAGGUGACAUGUGGUUUCCUGAAAACCCUAUAGGUCUAGCUGUCUAUUACUCGCCACUCCUUCGAGUUCAGGAUCAGGUUCAAUGUCCGCAACCAUUUCUUAGUUUGGUUAAAAUCCCGUCUUUUGAUUUGUUCAAGGGUGUCACUAAAGUGGUGAAUGGGCUUGUUUGUGCUUAUGGGAGUAUCGGUGCCAUGGUCUGCAGUGUCGGUACUCGGGAAAUCGUGUGGCUUCCAGAAAUUAGUGGGUUCCGCAAUUCCGCUUAUGAAGAUUAUUACUUUGGGUACCAUCCUGGCAAUGAAGUCUACAAGUUGCUCAAGAUAAGCAAGUCUAAUUCUAAGCAGGAAGCCCACAUUCUGACGCUCGGCCGCGAUUCUUCUUGGAGAAAGCUGGCUAUUGGGCUUGAUGGGUCUUCUGAAAGAUUACCGGCUGACAGCUUCUUGUGUAAUGGAGUCCUUUACUGGGUGAUGCAUGGCCUGGUCGAGCGGCUGGGGCUGAUUUCUUUUGAUCUGAAGACGGAGAAGUUCCAAUUCAUUGAACCCCCCAAGCACCCCAUAUUUUCGUCCAGGCAAAGCUGGUGGAUACCGACGAAAUUCAGGGGACGGCUGGCUCUGUUAGUUUAUGGUUUCUGGAAAAAUGCAGAAGCUGAAUGUUUUUCCAUUUAUACACUGGAAAAUUGCGAUGAUCGUGGUUCUAGUUCCUGGGAUAGGCAUGCCAUCCCAACACCCCCUGAGUUUCGAGGUGCAGGUAGAUUUUGUGCACAACUUGUUGGCAACCUCCCCACAGGCCAGAUAUUGCUGACAGAUAUGCAUAUUUGGAAGCAUUGUGAUGAUUUCAUACCAAUAUAUUCUUAUGAUGACCAGAGAAACGAGUUCGAGAAGUUUAUAGUUGGCAGUAUCCCUCAGGAGACCAUUCGUGCUCUGGGAUUUACUUUUAGGUUAUCCUAUAUGGCACAGCAAAAUGUUGUAUCAUUGGCUGUCUUGUUUCGCAAGUGGGUGAAAUCAAAAGUAAAUGCAUCCACCAGUUAGUUGUGGUUUUGUCACAUCUAUGGUUGUGAUGCUCUAAAAGAUAGGCAGAGAGGAAUGGUAGCAGCAGCUGUUGUUAAAUGAGGCAGAGUGAGUGAAUUGCUUGUAAUAUUCUUACAUGAAAUUGUUCAUUGCAGCGAAGAAUAGCAUUUCUCUGUGGCUAGAUGCAUUCAAGAUUUCCUCUGAGAUUUCCUUUUUUUUUCCCUUUCAUUAGCUGGUGAUGCCUAUAAAAGCACCUGAACCUCCCGUAAGCAAAACACAAACACAAUAAUGUUGCGAGGUUUUCCUCCAGAAAUGGUCUUCCAACGGGACAUAUAAUCUUAUCAGUGAGGUGAAAGAAUUUGCUGACAAAAUAGCCUUUCAACGUUGUUAAUCUGAUAGUGAUCAUACAAAUAUACGGGUGUGUUUGCGAAGCAACCGGACCCUUCAGGUUCUCAUGGUUGGCAAAUAAAAACAGGCCACAGGGCCAGUAGGGAGGUUUCCAACUUUCCAACAGGAGCAACCGCUCCCCAGCUUGCAGCAAAAUCUUCAAACCCAGGGGAUAAGGGGAUGGAUAAUAUGCCUAAUCCACCAAUUACCUCUUUUCUCUGGCCUUGUAAAAUCACAUGUAGUUACAAUUGUAGACGUAUUAGUACCAAGUAGUACAUGUUAAACGACGAUUUACAGUCCAAGAACAGAACUUUUUUUUUCCCCCUUUUAAUUGAAACUUUCUAAGGACAGAACUUGUCUUGGAUGGAUCUAGCAUGGGCUAAUUCUUACAAGUAGCCAUACAAGAUAGGCAAUCACAAAGCUUACGAAUCCUAAAACCGACUUCAAACAGGCACGCGUACUGGCAUAUGUUUCCAUCAAUGCAAAUCAAUUACUACAACGUUAAAAUGCUAUAGCACCCAAGCAUUAAAUGCAUCAAUGCAUUAACGCACCCAUUAAUGCGUUAAAGAUAUGCCUUAAAAUGCAUAUCUUUCCAUCAAUGCAUUAAAGCACCCAAGCAAACACAAUGGGGUGUAAUACCCUUUAUUACUCCCUCCCCAAUCUCCAAAGUGAAGUAGGAGUAUAGUAGAAGUGCGAGUACAGUGGAAGAGUAAUAGUCAUGAUGCGUUUCAUGGGUCAUGGCCGUUACACACAUAAUAAAUAGACUGGUUGUAGGUCUCAUUUGACAAUUUCAAUGCUUUAAAUUUUAUGGGAUAUAUACUGUGUAUCCUUAUACUAUAUAAGAACGACUUUGGGAUUAGAUUUCAACCGCAGGGGUGAGGCUAUUUUGGGAAUGUGAGAGUGCUUGAAAAAUAAUUGGAACAUUGAGUACAAGUCAUUAUAACUUUAAUUUCACUAUAAUUACUUAUAUAACCUUUCAGACAUUUAAAGUUAAGGACAGGUUUGGUAUGUUACAAUGUUUGGUGCCAAGUUGAGUAUCAAGUACAAUUUAUAUAAGAACGACUUUGGGAUUAGAUUUCAACCGCAGGGGUGAGGCUAUUUUGGGAAUGUGAGAGUGUUUGAAAAAUAAUUGGAACAUUGAGUACAAGUCAUUAUAACUUUAAUUUCACUAUAAUUACUUAUAUAACCUUUCAGACAUUUAAGGUUAGGGGCAGGUUUGGUAUGUUACAAUGUUUGGUGCCAAAUUGAGUAUCAAGUACAAUUGAAUAAAUCUUGUAUUUUGAUAGAACGAGUUUAGGACUAGAUUUCAACCGCAGGGGUGAGGCUAUUUUGGGAAUAUGAGAGUGUUUAAAGAGUAAUUGGAACAUUGAGUAUAAGUCAUUAUAGCUUUAAUUUCACUAUAAUUACUUAUAUAACCUUUUAAACAUUUAAGGUUAGGGGCAGGUUUGGUAUGUUACAAUGUUUGGUGUCAAGUUGAGUAUCAAGUACAAUUGAAUAAAGCUUGUAUUUUGAUAGAAUUACAUAAAAGUCCUUUUAAUCAUUUAUUAUACUAACAUCCAAGCCUUCCAAUUUCCUAAAACCUUUCUCAUCCAUUAAGGAAUUAAUUGGAUGUUUACAUAACAGGAUUAUAAUUACAAUUAAUUAACUUAAUUAUUAUCUGAACAAUCAUUAUCAUAUUUAUGUCUCCAUGUUUAGCCGAUAUCCUUUUUUCUUUUUCGGUUUCACCUCUUUAAUUUUAUUAUGGAUAUUAAAUAUUUGAUGGAAUACAUAGUUUUUCCUUUAAAUUGAGGUGAGUUCUUUAGAUUUGUUUUCUUCGAUUGUAGUUUUUUUUUUUUUCUGAUGAUUGGUUUAUUCAAGAAUUCCAUAUAGUUUGCCUCUAUGUUAUGAUCUCGUUCUUGUAUUAUAUUGUUUAUAUAGUUUCAAAUACAAAAAAUUUGUUUUUUUAUACUAUAUAAAAGAAUUUGUAGUGGAACUUGAUGAGUUUAAAUGUUUUAGCUACAACACCAUUUUGAUUGCAUUGUAUUAAUUCAUUUACUCAUAAUUGUAUGUUGUACAAUGAUAAAUAAUGUUUCUUGAUUUGAUUGAUGCAACUAUUAUCCAUAGUUCAAACGAGUCAAUUAAGUAGAGAUAUUUUAUUGGAUACUUAUACAAGUAAACAUUGGAAAAUAUCAUUAAGCAGUUUCUACCUAUAGUUUGCAAUUCGAAUUCAUAUAAGGAAUUUCUUCUGAUUUUACUUACCAUUUUCUACAAUUUCAAAUUUAGAAAAUAUUAUUUGCACCAAUUUUUUAUAAUCAAGAUAGUUUCAAUUUAAAUCUUUAACAAUUAUACAUAUUUGAACUUAUUUAUGAGAUUAUAAAGAAAUGCCCCUAGCAAAAAACUCCAAAUCUGAAUAGUUUCUACAAAACUUUGAAAACGAUCACUUAAGUUUCUUAUCUAUCUAUCAUUUUUGGGCAUUAUUAUCUCUGUAAGAAACAUGUGAUUAAGUCGUAUUAUACCCACCAAAUUAUAUAAAUAGUUAGUAAAAAAUAAAAUUAUUUUAGAUUAGAUUGGACGCAAUGUGAUUGAUAGAUAAACUUGAUUUGAUAAUUCAGGUUGAGCUUAAGUCGAGGGAGAAAUCAAAAACAUUACUUGAGGGAUCUUUCACGAAUAUAUAUAGAUUCGAGAGAUGAAGGGUCCAAUUGAUACUUUAAAAUGUUUUAUCAUCUUGGAUAAGUUUUAGAAGAGACCUUUGAAUAUUUUUCAAUUGCACUUCAAACAUUUUUACAUUUUCAAACUACCCUUAUCUUUGCAGUUGAAAUUCAAACAUAACCUUUGAUCACAACGGAUUCUUAUAUAGUAUAACGAUAAGGAUGUUUUACUGCACAUUAUUUUUAUUGACUCACUAUGUAACUUAUAAUUUUUCUAUUAAAAUCACAAGAUAAAAUCAUCAUACUUCAGUUCCCAUACUAUAAAAUAUUAAACAAUAAUUAUUAAUUAUCUUGAAUCACAAGCACCAAAUUCCCGCGCGUCGCGCGGGCUGUCCCUCCCUAGUUAUUAAAAUAAAUAUGUGAUUUGAUCGUGAGUUCAUACUAUUAUAUUCGAUACGAUGGAAUCUAUAGUGAGAGAUAUUAUAAUGAAAAAGAGGAUAAUAAAAUGAUGACGUAUAAAUAAUCUCACGUCAAAAGACUUUAAUUCAUGUAGUUUUAUAACAAAAAACCUUGGCUUUUAGUACCAAUAAUCUCACAUCCCCGUAGGUUGAGAGAGCCUGAUCAAACAAAUCGGUCUCAACCUUGAGUUCCCCGAUUGCAAGCAGCAUUUCUGCAAUUGCUUUAUGCCUUUCAAUUUUGAACACCGAAUUGAUGGGCCGCGGCUAUUGGCUUUAUUCUUUUGUUCGACUAAAAUAGAUAUUCCUUCCCCCGGGUUGCAUAUCAGGAAAAUCGCACACAAGGCCGGCUGACAAAUGACAAAAGAGAGUGUUUUGCGAGCUUCAAUGUAAUUGUAGUAGGGGAAAAAAUAAAAUUGUUCCCUCUGAUAUAUGGAAUAAGCCCAUCGAGUAUCCCCUUUGAAAUGAAAGACAUGAAUCGAACUGCCCCGCAUGUAAUAAGCAUUUCACGUUCAUGGACUUAAUUUUACUUUUGGACUAAAUAAUUUUUAAAAAAAGGCCAUAAAUGACCUCAACUCAUGAAAUGGUUACAUUUGCGCUCUAUCCAAAAUAGUAACGAGUAAAUCAAAGCAUUGGACCUCUAACAAGUUUGCUUUUUUAAGUACAAAAUAACAAGUUCCGGAUUUCUCCCUCCUGCUAUCUCUCCUCCUAAUACAAGACUGCAGUGCUGCGCAUGCCGAGUGGAUGUCUAUGCACGCAUGCACAGAGAGAGAGAGAGAGAGAGAGAGAGACCAUUAUGAUCACAGAUGGUACAAAGGUUGUGGUAACAGUAAACAAGCAGAAAGACAAUGAAUCGGAGAAGGCUUCAUGAACUUCCUAACAAUGCAGUUGCACAAUUGCAUCCCGUUACGAGCAUUACAAAUGGACCAAAGCCUGUGCAAGUUCAGUGUAUGCUUAGAACGGUUGCGUCUCACCUACAGAGAGGCAGAUUUCCAGAACUCAAUGGGCUUCCGAUGCUGAAAGGAUUACAAUGCAACUAGGUCAUGAGGAAGAAUAUGUGGUUACGUCAAAUGAGAAAUGCUAAGUAAGACGAUGUUUUUGCUAUUCGGGAAUGCAAAUUCAACAUAUUUAAAUCAAUAAAACCAUUUUUUGGCUUUCCAUUGGGGUGUUUUUGGGGGAGGGGGAGAAGAAUGAAUUUGUGUAGUAAUAAAGCAUAGUAAACAACUUCCAGUUACCUGGCAUAUGGGCAUUUUUGCUCUAACUGAAUCAAUGAAAGAGAAGUCAAUAUCUGCAACAGCAAUGCCAGUUGACAAACGAUCUGGAACAGCAUUUGAACAGUAUAAUAUGGUCAUUAAGUUUGAAAUUGUCUCUUGCAAGAAGCUUUCAGCUAAUACGAUCGCAAAAUACUAUUUCUCAUACAAGUGAUUUGACCAUACAAAGCUCCCUCAAAUGAAUUGAGAGAAUUUAAUAUGUUGUUUUGGAGCUCUGAUCUAGCUUUCCCUUGGAACAUAUUGACCAUGACAUAAACAUUAAUUUAAAGGCACAAGACUAGCAACUUCCUUGGAGAGAGAGGUAGUGGUCAAAUUUCUAAGCCCCCCUCUCUGAUCAGGUUACUGCCAUAAAUCUAACCUAUCAAGUAGUGACGCAGCAUCUACCAUGCAAGUCCAGCUGUGAAAAGGAGACGGUCAAUGGAUAGGUACAUUCAUUCCCUAUAUGAUCAAACCUUCCCCCCCCCCACCCACCCACACACACACAAACACCCUUCUUUCCGGAGGGGAACAAAAAAAUAAGCAGAGGGGGAAAAAAAAGAAAGAGAAAAUACAUAAUCGUGCUUUCCAUCUGCCUGUUUCAGAGUGAGCCUAUAUCCAAAUCAAACAAGUCAACUAAGGACCAUACAGAGGGAAAGAAGUUAAAACCAAAGAAAUUGAAUAGGGGAAGAAAAUAUUUCAGACCCGGCAACCGCCCAACUAUUGUUCCCCAUGGAUCAAUUAUCAAGGUGUCACCAUAGCUUUCUCUUUUGUCAUUAUGCUUUCCAGCUUGCGCAGCAGCUAUGACCUGUAAGAUGUUUAUGACUGUGAAACAGUGGCAUAAAAUCAGGAAAGAGAGCUUAUACCAUCAGAUAAAACGUAUGUUAAAAACCCAGUAUAAAAGAGAACUCCAGAAAUUGAACGUCUCAGAUGUAUAACAUAUGCAUCCAGGGUGAAUAUUCUUGUCAAAAAUGCUAUGACACAGGUACCAUAUUGUCUGUGUAGGAGCUACCCAUUCACAAACAUAGUUUUGAAGAUCAUUGCCUGGCAUUUUGUCCUGUUGUCAAAAGAUGGAUUCAUGGGAUUUUCAAAGAAACUAAUAACUGUACAUCCAUUGGAGUUGACCCUCCUCCAUGCAGUUAUUGCAAUUAACUAAUGUUUUAAUACAAAAUUAGACACACAUAUUAAAAUACAUAUUUCGGUAAAUAUCAAUAGCAACUAAAACAUGCAAUGUCUUUCCAAAGAACAACUUCAUGUAGCUGAAAAUUUCAGGCAGACGUUUAUUAGAUUGCACAUGUCAAUAUGCAGUAACCAUGAGAGGAGAACAUCUAGACUCUUUCAGGCUUAUCUUGAAGAGGUAUGAACGCAAAGAAAAUCAAUGCAGAUUGUUUUUCGCUAUUCAAUUCUAAGAAAACGAUAAAAUCAUAAAACUUGCAUAUAACAAAACACUACAAGCUGAAGUGUUGUUCAAUCAACUAUUACAGAUGGUGCUUAAAAAUAAAAAUAAAUUAAAAAAAAAAACCUUUGGCAGUAAACUAAUAGUAGAAAACCAAAAUGUUAGAGGAGGAUGAAGAACAUUCAUACAUAACAUUGAGUUUCAAUUGCACGAGCACGAAGAAGAAUCUCCCAGUGUGCUUGACCUGUUGGUUUUGUAAAAGCAGCAGGUACCAGUAAGACCUGCCAAAGGGAAAAGUGCAAAUCACUGUAUAAGGAUACAACUACUAUUCCCACGUGCAUAAAAUGAAUUUUUACCUGUGCAUUAUGGUGGAACCUCAACUGCUGAUAAAGCUCCGGAAAUCUCAAAUCAUAACACACUGUCAGACCUAAAUGUCCAAAGGGGCUAUCUACUGUAACAAUCUCCUUCCCUGUAAAAGCUCAUCAGUUUUUAGAGAGAGAGAGCGAGAUGGGGUGCAACAACUAUUGGAAGGAAAAUGAACUAAAUUAAGUACUGUAAUUUGGAAUUCUUGGCACCCACUUGGUAAUUGUGGAUCUACCUAGCUAGGUUCUGAAUUCACUGAUUAGUUGAUACCUUAAAUCCAUCUUCAAAAACAAAAUUUCAAGAUAAUCAUUUGGUUUGAUCUGGAACAAUUGCACCGACCAUAAAAUAUACGCCAACAAGUUAUCCAGGUAGACAGACACAUAUGCACCUAUAUAGAUAUCCAUCUCUUGGAAUACCAUAUAGAGAAAAUAGCAUGGCUAUGAACAAAUAAAGCUAUAUUUCAUACCAGCUUCUGUAAAGCAGCUCUCCUUGUAAACUGCACUUCCAGGGACAUCCACGUCAAAUCUUCAAAUGUUCAACAACUUAUUCAGAUAUUCGAUCUAAGAAAUUUACAGGAUAAUUGAGAUAUCAUUGGCAUAAACUCGUGUCUUUGAGAUACCAUCGACAUAAAUGAGAGUAUCUGGUGAUUUAGUUGUACCCAAAUAGAACAGUAAGACCAGGGGAAAAAUAGUGUCAAAGAUCUUACAGGUGCAUCUUCCGGAAUACACUUCUGAUAGUCCCAGCAUCAUCAAUUAAAACAUGAGCAUUGCAUAGAUGUGCAUCAUCAGGUCCUUUUUCUUGGAAUCCUCCAAGAGACAGCCACAUAUUUGAAUCCCUUCACAAAGACAGUAAAAUUUUAGCUUCAUAGUUCGGAAGCUCAUAAUACCAAAUAACAAGAAAAAAAAAUUCACUUGAACAACCAAUUGAAUGGGUUGAGAAAUAACCAAAAAGUGGAAGUUUUAACCAAUCAAGACCGUUUAGAAUAAAUUACUAUUACUUCAAAGGGUGGAGAGCAGGAUCUCCCUUGAUGUUUCCUUAUAUCCUUAGAAUUUUUUUUCUUUUUCUCCUAAAAGACUAGAAAAGUGAAAGGAAAAAGGGUUCUUGGCCUUACCUUGCAAGAGAACAAUACUCCUUCAUAAUUGGUCCAUCUAAUGGUUGAGCAACCUUCAAACUGUCUCCAGCUAGGUCACCAACAUAUGAAAAAUUUUCUGGAAAACAAAUCAAUUUCGCCCCAGCUGAAGCUGCUUCCUUACAAAAAUUAAGCUUUAAUUAUUAGUUUGAAAAUAUGACACCUACAAAAUCCCAAUAGUGUAACUUCUAUGUUGCUUAUGACCUACUGCAACAGAUAUUUAGUUCCUGUUUGGAUCAUGAAGUGUGAAGGGAGAAGAAAAGGAUAUUCUGAAAGCAAAAAAUGAUGGAAAAGAACCAUAUCCUUUUAGUUCACAAUAUAUUUCGGAAGAAAAAUCAACAAAGGUAUUAAAGAAUGACAACAAUUUCCCUUUGAAGUUAAUAACUUCCUCUCCCCCUUUUACAUGAGAUCCCGCACAUUGUAAGUUUCAGCCAGUAACUUCUGUGGGUAAACUUUCCUAUGGAGCUUGAACCACUAACUGUGGCAAAAGCAAUCUACAUGUGUAAUCGCCGCAAAACAUUCAGCAGCAUCAAUUAUCUUAAAUGUGCCCCUCUGCAUCAGCAGCCAUUCUCUCCUGGUAUUGGCAAUAGGUAUCUAGAAUUUGAAAUACAAAUUGUCCUCUUAGCGUUCCUUUCUUGGUAAAUAACAAGUCCAAAUGGAAAUUCGCCAACUACCCAGUGGUAAAAGUUACAAACCAAGCUUCAUUACUAGUCCGACGUGUGAUCAUAGCCAUAACUUCACACUCUAGCACAUAAGUGGCAAGAUCAAACUUAAACCACGAUUCAUCUAUUUUGCAACUCUUCUUUCAAUUAUAAUCCCCUGCAUACAAUUUAAGAGUUAACAAUCGUUUCACACCAAAAAUCCCACUAUGUAUUAGUUUAUGUUGGGGAUGCACAAGCACCAAGUCAAGGAAACAGCAGGGCUGAAGCUCUUUCUUAUGUUAUGUGUUUUUCUUUUCCAAAACUAGAAUCCAAACCAAAUACCUCAAAUAAAGACCUCUUGUGCUUUCGUGUUCAUUGGUCAUAACAAAUCCCUCCGUUAUAGCCUAUAUUCAGCACAUACAACUUUUAGAGGCAGCUAUUCAACACCCUCAGAUAAUAGUCCAAUCAAGAAAAUUCCCAGUAAUACAACCAUUCGCAGGAAUUUAGUUUAAAAAAAUUACAUUUAGGAAUAAAGUAGGUACACAUCCGUUUCCAAUUUAAAAAAAAAAAGAGAGAGAGAGAGAGAGAGAGAGAGAGAAAGGAAAGCAAAGCGAGAAAAAAAAUCCUAGUUCUUAUUGUGUUUUGAAUUUUCCAUUCGCUGCAGAACCAACGGAGAGUCCUCAAAGUCAACUCGUUGCACAGUAAAUAAUUUAAAAAGUAAAGCAAAAUAACACUAAAAAUGGUCAGUGGAGGAAGGUACUCUAACGAGGCGAGAGCAGGUGGCGAAGUUUGCGGCGACGUCGUUGAUCGAAGUCAUCUGAGCGGCAGCGACGCGGACUGUGUUGGCCAUGGUUGCUAACUAGCCGGCGGCGAACACUCGAAGACGGAGGACUGGGAAGUUGGAAUGCUGAUUGGUUGGGCUGAUGACUUUUGGGCCGGAGAUCAUUGUCUUAGGCCUUUUUGGUCGCACAUAGUGACAAAGGUCCAUUCUCAAUGUCGUCAUGAGAGAUGUCACUAAUCUUGAUUUUGAUAGGAAAUCUCACCAAUUUAGUUGCUCCUCCAAGAAAAGAGAUGAAAUGUAUUCACUCAUGUAUACAACUUCACUAUCACUUACACAUAUGAAAAUUUGAUGCCACAUUGGUGAUUAAUGAAAUGCAGCUAUAUUAGUUUUUAAUUUUAGUUUUGUAUUAGCAAGAUCAAUGUGCAUUCUAAAACUUAUUGAUGGAUUAGAGUUAUUUUUUCAAGGUAGUUCAUAUUUUGUAGUUUUAAACGGCUAUUGAAUUGUGAAUUUUUGUAUAACACUUUUUUUUUUUAAGUGUAAGUGAGAAGUUUCAAACUUAAAUGACAUAUAAUUGGAUAUUAACGAGAGAAGUAGAAUUGGAUCUUUAACCCAAGCUAACAUACAAAAAAAUGAAAACAAGAGAAAGGAUUAAUUUACUUUGUUUAGUUGAUUCUAAAGUUAAGGGAAUAUAUAUACAGUUUUCAAAAUUUUAAGGGAUUCUUUAUGACAGUGUAUGCAGACUUGAGUUUGGAUAAGAGAUUAUUUAAAAUAAUUACUAUAAUAUUAUAUAUGUGAGAUAAAAAUAAUGAUUAAAAAAGUAUAUUGAAAAUUUUGUUUAUAAUGCAAAUAAAUAAUUUUUUUGGCCGUACAGAAAGUUUAAUACGAGACUACGAGUAGAUGCUGCUUUUGGGAUCAAUACUCGUGCCAAAAAUUUGGUUGAAGCCUCGAGAGUGGAUCCCCCGUUUCCCCGUUUCUGUGCUCCAGCCUCUCACCCGUUGAGGGCCAGCACUUUUCUCUUACUGGCAUACCCAAGCCGAAAAAUCAAGCAGGGCAAAACCAGAAGAAGGAGGAGGCAAGUUGAGGAAGAGUUAAAGAAAGAAAGUAAAGAGGAGGGAUGUUGUUUCAGGUAGGAGGACAAGGGACUCGUCCCACCUUCUUCGAAAUGGCCGCUGCCCAACAGCUCCCGUCUAGUCUUCGUGCUGCUCUCACUUACUCUCUCGGUGUAAGCUACUCAAAGUUCAAACUCCAUUUGGGUUCUUCAAUUUUCAUCAAAAUUCUUGUUUUUUUGUCUUCUUUUUUGUUUUAAUUCAGUAACUGGGCUUGUUUUGUUUUGUAGGUAUUGGCUUUAAGAAGACCCUUUAUUCACAAAAUCCUGGACUAUGAGGAUGAAUUCUUCGCUUUGCUAAUGCUUGUCUUGGAAACCCACAGCUUGAGAACAACCGAUGCUUCUUUUGCCGAGUCUCUUUAUGGGUUGAGAAGAAGAGCGGUUAAUAUUAAAGUAAAAACAAAGGAUAAUAUUCACAGCAAGAAGAAGAUUUUGCCAUUGGAUUCCCCUGCUGACGCAAUUCAUCAUAAUGGCUUAGAGAAACGCCAGAAAAUCCUCUCUGUUGUAGUUUUGGUAAUUGUUUCGUUUUCUUUUGGCACUCCUUAAAUUCAGUUACUUCAUGUUUUGCAUAAUGGAGAAGAAUUUUGUCUAUGUGACGAUUCAUAAUUUUUGAAAUAAGCCCUUUUUUUUUAUCGGUUGUUCUCAUUACUCUCGAUUGGUCGUUUUUUAAUGCUGGAUAUGUUUCUGUUGUCAAAGAUCCUUCCUUUUUGACACUCAAGCAAGCUUCUGGCUUUUUUUUAUUUUUAGUAGAGUUUGUUUACUGUGUUCUGAGUUAGAUAAACGUUGUGUAGGUUGUGUUGCCGUAUUUUAGGUCCAAAUUGCAGUAUGUAUACAAUAGAGAAAGGGAAGCUACACUUCAAGCGAGCUUAUGGGGUGAGGGUGAGGAAAGAUUUGGCAACAUAGACUACUUUGAUGGAAGUGGAAAUUCCUCAGCUUCUGGGAGCAGUUCUGGUGAAGAAGCAUCUACCACGAGAAGAUGCGUCAUGAAGAGAAUACAGAAGAUUAUAGCUGCUUGCUACCCGUGGAUACACGCUGGAAGUGAAGGUUAAUGCUAGUCUCAUUUAUGUGUAGUUUGGGUGUUGAAAAUUCACUGGCUUUUCCUCCUUAUUCUAGAUUUGCUUAAGCUUCACUUGGAUUUAAUGCUGUCGCCUUCUUCAUGUUCUAUCUGUGUGCUUAUGCCAAUCUAUGUCUUGCUCUUUCCAAACCUUGCUACGCUAGGACUUAGGAAUCUGAGCUCAUGGCAAUGCAUGCUUGUUAAUUUGUUUAAUUAUUGGAUGCACCCACUCCGCAUCCACAAAGUAAAAUGUUUUCACUUUACACUUGGAUGAAUUUAAUAGUUUUCUACUGAAAAUGGCACCAAAAGGCGUGCUUGGUAAGGAGCGGGAACUUUUUUCUUUUGGAUGGAGUUGUAAUUAUUCUUUGGACCAUCUUCCAUAAGACCAUCUUCCAUAAGCUGUGACAAAUGAUAUGAAUUUAGUUUCCUCUAAUUGACCUGUUUUUUCUUUGCAGGAUUGUCUUUUGCUUAUCAGCUUUUGUAUCUACUAGAUGCUACUGGGUUCUACUCUUUAGGAUUACACGUUUUAGGGAUUCAUGUUUGUCGAGCUACAGGGCAGGAGCUGGUACUUAUUCUAGAUAUGUAUCAUGUGUACUGAUCUAUUAGAUCUAUUGUCAUCCUUCUUGUCUGUGGACUAACUUUGCUAUCUAAAUCAGUUUACAACUUGGUAAUCUAUACUUAUAUAGGAUCUUGCAUGGAAAUUCAUGCAUAUCUCCAAACCAUGAAUGUUGCUUACUUUAAAUUUUUUUUCUAUGUGUUCUUUAACUAUCAGACACUUGACUAGGUGCAUUUUCAUAUAAGUCUUAUAUUUAUCUCCACAAAGCUGGUAGUUUGAGGAAAAGAUCAAGUAAGAAAAUUUGUAUUUAAAAUGGAGAAAGUGUUUAUUUAUUCAAUCAAACCACUCUUCGACAUACUUGUAGAUGUUAGUUGAAUCAGUUGAGCCAUCUUUAAACCUUUUUUUAGGACCUAGCAGUGCAUUUAUGAUGGACUGAUUUCAGUUAUGUUUCUACUUAUUUCCUUUCAUUUCUUUGAGCAUGGGCACUUUCUUUUGACAAGGUAGAUGGAUACAUCUUCAAGAAUUUCUAAAAUCAGGAGCCGCGAACGUGAGAGACUCCGUGGCCCCCCUUGGCUGAAGGUAUGUGAUUCCAUAUUUCUUAAUGGUUUUAUGCUGAUACUUUGAAUAUUGUUAAUAGUCUGAGAUUAUGUGGAGCAGUUACCAUGGUUAUUCAAGCAUUGUGCAUGUAGAUGCCUAUCAUGUUAUCUAUCAUAUUUCUGAACCUCAACAAAUUUGGCUCUAAGAUUCUAGUGGUUGUCAUCUUUUUGAAACUAUAAAUUCAAUGACUAUUUUGAAGGUUCUAUGAUCAAUAACUUGGCUAUUUGCAUUUCAGGCAGUGCAAGGUGCACUUCUAAGCAGUAUGUAUGCAGUUCUUGACUAUGCACAAACUGGUUUAAUUGCUGCAGUAUUUUUCUUUAAAGUAAGUGCAAUUCACCGAGAUUAUGUCAAAUCCUGCAUUAGCAACUUUAUUUGAUUCUUUCUUUAUCUUCAUGUCAUUGUCUUAUCAUCAUUGGUUCAUUUGAUUUUUCUGUUGGUUUCAUAUUCUUCUUUAUUUAUUUUAAAGUCCCCUUCAUUGGGGUCUGUUUUUCAUUAUAUUAAAAACUCUGUUGGUUUCAGACUUGAUUAUGUUGAAUCAUGCAUCUUAUUAGCUGUAUUUUCUUUUCCAUUAUUGUCCUGUACUCUCUUUCUCUCUCUCUCUCAAAGACACACAGAUUUCCACACAAGAUGGCAAAUAAAAUCCAUGACUUUUCAUUAUUGAUGUGAAUGUCAGAUGAUGGAAUGGUGGUACCAAUCUGCUGAGGAGAGAAUGUCUGCUCCAACAGUGUAUCCCCCACCACCACCUCCUCCUCCCCCAAAGGUGAGGUUAUUUUCUUUUAAUGUGUAGGAAGUUCCACAAACGGUUGGUGGCUUGUUAAGAUUUUAUAUUUUCUUGCAUGUAGGACAUUCUUUUGUGACUCGUGAGAAAGGUGCAGUAAUUGUUAUGUUUCAUAUGAAUAGUUCCCAUAGUGAAGUUAUUCCUAUCUGACACGUGUGGCUCACCCAUUGCCAAGUCUUGGGAAAUUUUUGCAUGGGGGCACCAUUGAUGGUAAUAAAUGAAAAAAAAAUAACAAUCAUAGGUGCAGAAAUGCUAUAAUGAUAAGGUUUCUUACACAAAUUGAAAAAAAAUGAAAGAAAAGGACACGAAUGAAAAAGUAUGAAGGACUUUAUGCACAUUGUGUUUCUUGAGAAAUUUGAUAUUCACACAGAUUAUUGCUUCAUUUUGAAACAGGUUGCAAAGGAGGGAAUUCCACUACCUCCAGAUAGAACGUUAUGCCCUUUGUGUUCACAAAAGCGUGUAAAUCCAUCAGCUGUGGCUGUUUCAGGAUUUGUGUUUUGUUAUUCUUGCAUAUUUAAAUACGUCUCUCAGGUUUGUUUCUCCAUACCUGUUUAUUGAUCAUGGUAAAAUUGCAGAACAUGUUCAUUAAAUGUUGAAUAGAAUUAUCACAUUAAUACCUACAUUCUUCGCUUCGUGCAAAUACAGUACAAGCGCUGCCCAGUCACCUUGAUGCCUGCGACAGUGGAGCAAAUUCGGCGGCUUUUUCAUGAUAUGUAGGAUAUCUUUUUAUAGGGGUAUUUGGAUUUAUAGGGGUAUUUGGACCCAACCUUCAGAUGUAGUACAUGAAGUAGAGUCUAAUAUCUUCGUGCCCAAAAAUCUGUGCAUGGUAGGCUUGUAGCAGUUCUGUACUGUAUUCUCCAAGUAUUGAGUGAUGCUUCCUAUUAUGCCGCAUUUCAGGAAGCUUUUAUCAUCUUGCUAUAUAGUCUACACUAAACUUAAACAGUAAAUUGUACAUCUGUAGCCAGAAAUCAAUUUCUGCAACUUAAUUCUUUUGUUUAAUUAUACUAGCAGUUGGCCUGUUACCUCAGUUCAGUUACAUGAGGUUUGCCAUGUUCAGUUACAAUUCGAUAUUGUUUUGAGUUGCUGAUGGGCUGGGCUGCUUGGCUUGGUCCUAAUAUUUGAGGGCUUUCCGUAGUUCUCGGGUUUCCAAGGUACACUUUAAUGGUUUAACAUGCUCCAAACCUGUAAAGAACUUUGAUGUUAAUGCCUCAAUGUGGUGUUUAAGCGUAAUAUGACAUUUGGGGUGCAGCUUUGCUCAAGGACGUGGCGAAUUGUAUAUAGCACAGCAGAUUCGAUUUUUUUUUUUUUUUUUUUGUGCACUAUUGGAUCAAAGAGACAGUUAAUAUUUUCUAAAGGUUUUGUAGAAAAAUGUGUUAUAUUGAUUUGAUAUGUGUGACGGUGUGACGUAAAAAUGUUAUUGAGACGUGUGUUCAUGGAAAAUUUAAAUUUUCGGUGGAAAAAUGGCCAUUCAAAGUAUUUUGAUAGAUACAGCUUGAUGUUGCGCUGAUAAUUAUGAUAUGAUCUGGUUGGUCGCUCAUUGCAAAACUGCAAAACAUGAUAUUUGAAGCAUCUAAUCCAAGCGACUCUCAUCCUCUUCUUAAUUGAAGAAUUUGACACUCUCACCGUAACAUUGGACUUCACACUUCGAAAUUGCAGCAAAUAGAACGAACAGAACUGGUUAGACUCCGGUUAGUAGAUAUGCUAAACUUGGACCGUAGCACCGUCCAGCGUUCUCUCUAACCUGGCCUGAAAUGGUGUAUGGUGGCCGUUCAUUCCGCCCUGCAAAGCGCGGAUCAUAUAUCAGCACAUGAAAUCUACUAUUCAAGUUCCAAUUGGACAACUGAAAUACGCUCGAUACCUUUCUGCACUCUCUUGAUGUCGUGCAGGAUGUGACUGACGUUCCUUUGCCAGGUGAACGAGUGUCAGCAGCUCUGGCUUCUCUUGUGUGCCUCCAGUAACUCCCUACUGUACCUAUUAUAGGCAUCUCAUCUGGACUGUGCCUUGGUGAUCGUCUAGGAGAUGGAGUCGCAGAUUUAGACAUCUGUUUCAAGUCUUCUACUGUCAAUACUCCCAAAAUUGGCCUAUCCUCAAAGCUUGUUGGAGACUCGGUUUUCUUUGGGGCUGAGUUCCCAACAGAACCUGGACUAUUCCCAUCAGGCGGAGUCUUAUCAGAUUCCAUUAACCAGCUUGAAAGGCUAGUAUCAACUGCAACUUCAUCGUGCCUAAGUCGGUUGGAAAAUCUCUUUGACCGCUGCUGUUGUGAUUGAUUCGGGUUAGGUUCUUCACUAAAAGGUAUAGGAUUUUUAGAAGUCAACGAAGAAUUUUCUUUUUCAGCGCAAGGGAUCGUGAAUUCCUGCACCAAAUUGAGAUUUUCCUUUUCCUGAUGCUCCAGGGAUGAGGUGGUUUUGGCUCUCACGGCUUUCCAUUGCCCAAGGUUCUCUAUUGGGUUCAGCACAGGAUGAACAUAUUGAGUCCUAUCUCUAGCAUUCGGCCUGUUUACCUCUCUGUCUGAAGCUGGUUUAAGCGGACUGCUGACCUCUUUCUCAUCUCUUUCAACUGCAGAACUUUGUUUUCUAGACUCGAUAGAUAUAGAGAAUAAUUCAGAUGACUCUUCUUGGAUAUCAACUGAAUCUUCAGAACCAUUUUUCUCCUCGUAAUUGCCAUCCAUGUUGUCAUCACUCUUCCCAUCAUGCUCCUCGUCCUCUGGAUUGUUCUUUUUCAAACCCAUAUCAACACACUCAUCAUCACUAGAUUCACAGUUCUGGUACCUAUGGUUUGGAGGAUAUGUGAAAAGGCUUGAAAUAGUUGAAUCGGAAAGUAAAUCGGCCUCGUCUUUGCUCUCUUCUUUCUUUGCUUUGCCUUCCUUCUUCUCACUGGAACUAGGAAAAUCUAGGAUGACCUCAGGUCUGCUUUCAUCCCUCUUCUUUCGUUUCUGAUCAUUUUCUAGCGCGCCUUCUUGGGCUUGGCAUUCCUCAGGAGCUUUCAAAAGUAAAUCAAAUGU
Molecule: long non-coding RNA, 66432 nt
Filed under: Coffea arabica (coffee)
Lineage: Eukaryota; Viridiplantae; Streptophyta; Magnoliopsida; Gentianales; Rubiaceae
Description: long non-coding RNA (CARA_LNC000924)
Source: RNAcentral